UAUAAGAGCAUGAUACAUUGAAAUCCACACAAUUCAUCUCACUUCUGUUGUGCUACUUUCUAUUAUCAUAUUAAUUCCCUAUGAAAGAUUACAAGAAAAUGAAAUCCAGACAUAGUCCAAAUUGAUGUCUACUCUAUAGUCUAGCUAUUUCCAUUUGCAUUAAGUAUUUUAUUCAAUAUCCGAAAGAGUAACCCGUGCUGUAGUUGAACCUGGAUCGGAUGUUGUGAUUAUUAUAAGCAGGGUCCCCAUAAUCAACUGCCUUUAUCACCAUUGUUUCACGUCGUCCAUCCUGUUCUUGAACUGCUCCAAACACAAUCUCGUUUGAUUCACAGCUUUGCUCGUAGUAUGUUUGAGGACUAGGCGACUGGUGCUUCUCGUGAUGCUGAUAUACUUGUGGCAGAAACUGUUGUUGAUGUUGAUGUUGCUGAAAAUUACCGUGCCCAUGUGCAUUCCCAUUCCAUCCACCAUAAUGGGAUUGACUUUGUCUCAUAUGUCGUGCUUUCUCCGGCUCUUUGUUCAUUAAUGGAUAGGUUUUACGGGGUGUAGGAUCUCUCGUGUCUAGGGGCGGGGCUUCAUCUUCAUCUCGAAUUACAUAGCUUUCCUGCAUUGGCCAUGCACUUGAUUGUUUGUGAGGGUAAUGAUAAUGCUGCUGGACAUGAUGGGGGUAAGGCUUCUUUCUAAAACCUGAGAACAUUCCUCCGAAUAUUUCACCCACAGUUGAACCUGUGUUCAGAACAAGCCUUCCCAGCGAUAGAAACAAGUUUUCCUCUGGUUUAUCGUAUUCAUCUUCUGACGGAAUUAAGGGAGGCCUCACUGACUUCAUAUUUCUCUGAUACGGUGCAUGUUGCACGCCCCUAACAGGAGUCCGUAGAUCGUUCUGCCAAUCAAAAGGAAAUGCAUAAAAAUAUCAUUCUGCCAAUCAAAAAGGAAAUGCAUGAUGUUCUGCACUAAUUCAUCCAUUCUGUUAAGCUAUAUGUGUAGUGAGUUUGGCCUUGACAUAGAUAACGAAAAUUUCUUAGAUUCCUAAAAUAUUUAUGGUCAUUUAUGCAUAUUCCUGCCUUUGUUUUAUCCAUCCUUUUUGUACCAAUUCCUAUGAAAGGAAUUAAUCAAGGUCAUUAGUUGCUUACGCUGUUCGAUGAAAAUAGCGCUCCAAUUCUACGUUGUAAUAAAGCCAGCAUGUAACCGAAAAAUCCAGCAGCACAAAGCAGUGCCAAACCUGCAAGGAUGAAAAUAUACUUUCUUCUGAACUUUUUUUUGUAAUUAGUGGUGAAUUAAUUGAUAACUGGAAAGAAUUAGAAAGUUUGGAAUUUUACCAAGAUGGAGAUUGUUGUCGUCAAACUGGUUGUGUGAACAGUCAUCAUCAUUGAGAUGAAUUUCUCUAAUUGCCCUGUUUCCUCUGUCUAUAACUAAAAGUGAACAGCUACUUCCAACAUAAACCACAUCGAAGUCGUCGGAAAACUUUGCAUCUUCACUUGGCCCAUCAAUAUGACCUCCACCUCGUGCCGACUUCCCUCCAGCAAUAGUUACAACUCCUGAUAUACAGAAAAUAUGCUUGAGUCAUGCACAUUACUCGAUUUAAUUUUUUAGUUUUCUCUUAUCGAACUAGUAUUACUGUGUGAUUUUUACUAAAUUACAUGCAUGUCACAUUUAGAUUUCAGAGUAGAAAGCCUCAAUCAAGACAAAGGUGAGGCAGACAUCGAAAAUUUACCAGCAUCACUAAUUUUUCUGAUAGCCAUAUUUAUGGUAUCUGCAACAUAUAUAUUUCCUUGAUCAUCCAUGGUAAGUCCUUUAGGAUGGUCCAUCCUUGCUUCUCGUAGCCUCCCAUCUAUAUGCCCCGAGUAUCCUUCAGGAGAUCCGGCAACCAAUUUUGGACGGCUAUCUACAGUUCAAACGUCCACUCAAUCAACAAGUCAAAUUUGAUUAAAGUAUAUAUAACAUUACAUCACUCAUUCGAAGUGCAUGUCUGCAUGUAAAAUACACAUCCCGUUUAUCCAAAGGAAGGAAAUGAAAAGCGAGUAAAGCUGGACUAUAGAGCAUAAUAGAAUUUUACAAGUGACAGUGAUGAAACAUACCACUCUUGCCCCAACAAAUUAAAAGUUAGCUCAUUUUGAUUGGAUUAAAGAAAAGGAUCAAAAGAGAAAUUAUGGAAGCAAGUGAAGGAGUUGAUUACAAGAGAAAAUGAAGGCAACUUAAAUAUGUGUUUGGUAUGACAGGAAAUGAUUUUUCAGGAAAAUAAUUUCCUAGAGGAAAUGACUUCCACCAUACCAAAACACAAUCUAAGAGUUCAAACAGUGGAGACCAUCAAGACCCUGCCUGCUUUAAGAAGUAGUACCAUGCUUUACCAGGGCAGAGCUACAAUAUUAGCUACGGGUUCGAACCUAACAGCUUUUGCUUAAAUCCUGUAUUUGUAGUGGAAAAUUCAUUAAAUAUGUAAUAAUAUUUAAUUAUGAACCAAGUAACUAAAACGAGUUAUGAGUUCGAUGAUAAGUUCAUAACCCGUAAUCCUGACUCCGCCUAUGUACUUGACAACUUUUGUGCUAAAAGCAUUUGAAGAUAUAUUGUAAUUCUCAUUACAGGGCCACCCAGGAUGAUUCAAUGUUUGUAAUGUCUUAGGGAAAUGACUAUUCCAUAACAUCUUGAACUCAAACAGUCUAUGUUCCUGCUGAAAGAAAAGGCUAAAGCCUAAAGUAAUAGGCAGGUAAUGAAUAGUACAGAGGCAUGCCUAAAUUCUUUCCCCACAAGACUCACAACCUUUUAUCUUGGAUUGAAAAAGAUGGAGGACCCAAUAAAAAUGGUCGUCUCACUCAGUCCCAGAAAAGAAUAAAGCAGAGAAGUUAGCCUAGCACUCACUCAAGGAACUUUGUCCUUAAAGAAAAGCAGAAGCUAACAAAUUUAGAAAAAAGAUGGAAUGCUUCUAGAUUCAAGUUAGCUAUAAUUAAUAAAAGAUAUUGCGAAACUCCAAAAGUAUAGUCUUCAUUUAAAUAAAAGCAAAUAUGAAACCCAAACAUAAAAGUACAUUGUAAUAAAAAUUCAGAUUCGCAGAGAGCUUGUUAAUGAAUCAUUUAGAAUAAGAGAAUAUUUUGAAAACGACAAGAUAGAGAGGAAUAUUAAGUCCUUGAAUAUGUCAAUACAACCGUAAUGAACAAAUAAAGAGAGUGAUAGUAUUGUAUAUAUCAGUAGUGAUAACAUAAUUAACCAAAUAAAAGUAUGUGAUUUUUAACAGCUUAAGCAUUUAAAUGAGAUAGUGACACACUUCAACAUGAUAUCAGAGCAGGCAGAAGUCUUGUUCAAGUGUCAUCCACGUGCUUGGCCAUGAAAAAGAAUUAAACGGCGUGUGUUAAAAACAGGGGCGGAGCCAACAUAUAUGUUACGGGUUCAGCCGAACCUAGUAAUUUAGGUCCAAACCUUCUAUUUGUCUUAAGAAAUCCAUUGAAUAUAUACAAAUUCUUAAUUUAGAACCCAGUAUCUUAAAAGAACUAGAAUACCGAACCCAAUAACUUUAAAUCCUAGCUCCAUCUUGGAACUUGAAAAAAUAAUUAUAUAUAGAAAAGUAUGUUCUCUGUAACAACUUAACCUUACAGGGAAGUAGAACAAGUGUCAUUUGUUAAACAAGUUCCUUUAUUGUUUGAGUUACACUCACUAGACUAACUAGUAGAAGGGGUCUUUAAUGAAGAAUUAUAGAAGUGCAGAACCAAAUGAAACGCUCUAAAUAGCAACUUACAUCGAGACAAUGGUGUUGAAACCCUGUAAAUAUUACUAUUCUCAGAGUCCAAAAUGAGAACCUCUCCAGUUGAAGAAACUUCUACUGAGUAAGGUUCAAUUCCAAGCUUGCUUCCAUCAAACACAGUUUCAACAAUAUAUCCACUCUCAAACUUGACCAUCGAACGGCUGGAAACAGCUGAUUAAUCAAACAAACCCCAUCAUUUCCACCAACAAUCAAAAAGCACAACUAACAGGGCAGCCCGGUGCAUUAAGCUCUCGCUAUGUGCGGAGUCCGUGGAAGGCCGGACCACAACGGUCUAUCGCAGCAGUCUUACCUUACAUUCCUGCAAAGAGCCUGUUUCCAAGGCUUGAAUCUGUGGCUUUUGGUCACAUGGCAGCAACUUUACCCGUUACGCCAAGGAUCCCCUUCCACAAUUCACUAACAAUUGAAAGGAAAAAAAACAUGGGAAAUAUACCAAGAAUGUACCUGUUUUUGCAGGCGAUUUUAGUGACCACAACCACUUAAAUAGCACAGAAGCAACAUUUGUGACAACCCCACCAACAAUCUCUGCAUAUACAUGAAAAAGACUCAGACUUUAUUAAACAAAACAAAGAUUUGAGAUUAAGGGGUCAUUGAGUUAAGCAAAUGAAACAUGCACUAACUUGCAGCAGGAGUGGCUGAGGUUGAGGCUGAGGCAGAUGAAAAUUCAAGAAGUAGAAGAAAGAUUAUGAGAGAUAAGAUGAUAAAAUUCCUUCUCAUGGUUCUUGAAAUGGUCAGUUAAGUUGAAAUAACACGAACAUUUUAAUUAUAGGCAAAAAUACUGGUAGACAAAAAGCUCACAAACAAUGUCUCCUUAGACUUUAUACAUGGUAAUCAGAAUAUAUAAAACUUAUUACUUUAGUGAAAGGACAGAGCAGACAUAUAUACAGUGAAACAGAGAGUAUUAUAUUAAGGAAGCUAAAAACUUGAAGUUAACUCUAUUCAAAAAUUGGGUUAAAAGAAAGAUAGGAAUCAAAUGCUUCUACUUUUCCUUGUUAAUUUUUCUUUAAUAAACAGUAAAUAGAGUGGAUUUCAGGACCAGAGUGAGAUUUUUGAGUUGAGAUUUAAGAUGGGGUGGCAGGUGGGCGCAUGACUGACAAAGAGAUGAAUUCUCUGAAAUACCCUUGGGCAGUCAGGUACUGUAAUCGAGAUUGAUAAGGUUAAUGCUGACAUUUUCGUCUAGAAAGUUAUCUUCCCUAGACAAACAACAGCAACAUAUGUCAGAGAACCGAUGAAUCACAACUCAUGCGUGCGUCUGCUAAGCCGGUUGUUCUGUUUCUUUAACUUGUUUUUUAUUUUAUUUUUCAGAUUUCACUUACCGCUUUUUGGAUGGUUGUUUAUGUAUUAUAUUAUUACUUUAAAUAUAAUAUUUAUUUUAAUUGUUACUCAAACAAGUUAGUUAUAUAUAUACACAAGUGUAAGAAUUAUUAUGUUAACAAGUUUUUUUUUUUUAAUGAAGUUGGUGUUCGGACGGCUUGCGCACUUGACUAACUUGUCUAUGUGAAUACCUUGUCUAAGGUAUUUUUUUAAUUCUACAUGUGUAUUGCUAAAAAAAUUGUAGCGAAUAACUUUGUCUAUCAUGACUUAGACAAAUAAGAAAAUAUAACAUAGCGCUUUUAUCUCCACGGAAAAUUGAAUCAGAGAUCUAAUGAUUCUCCACUCACUUCUUUGAUUAUUAGGCUAAUCCUAAGAGCGUUUUAAUUAUAUAUCUUAUUUUUCAAAUUAGUACUUUACCUAAUAUAAAUAAUUACUUAUAAUUAUCUUUCAAGAGUAGAUUUUAAGAACUUUUGUGUAUAAAAGUUAGAAUUCAAUUGGUAAAUAGUAGCGGGGAAAGAUUAAUAAGAAGGUGCAAUUAUGCACGUGCAAUUUUUAACUAACUAUACUAAUCUUAUUGUAACAACCAAACUGCAAAAUCAAUCUCAAGAAUAAUGUUUGUUUUCUUCUCUUUUCGUUUCUCGCGUUUUUCUUCCUUUUUCUUUUUCUCUUUUUGUUUGUUUCUCUAAUUGUCUUUGAGAAGAUUGUAUAAAAGUUGUAAUCCCAUUGGGGUUAGGUAAUUUGAGACUAAAAAAAUAUGGUAUACUUGUCCUUUUUCCUAAUCAUCACGUUUUGUCAAGAAAGAAUAAGCAAGCUUGGCAUGUCGACUCAACUUUUAGUCAUUUCUUAAUGUUGAGUUUGAUGUUCCAAGAUGCAAUGCGUCCUCUCUACUCAACUAAAAAAUUCACAUUUAUCCAAAAAUUCUACAUGUUACAGCAUAAUUACAUAAGACUUUAAGUUUGAUGAACUAACAAUAGGAAAAAUAUCAACACAAUCAUAAGGUAAAAAUGGUAACAUAUAAAUCCUUAACAUUAAUAGUAACAUGGUAAAAAUAAUAACUAACAUGCUAUCAUAGAUUAAAGUGGUGUAUAUAAUUUAUAAUCAACGUGAUGGAAAAAAUAGUCUUUUGGGCUUAGUACACUAAGAAAGAGUGUUAGCUAAUAAGUUGGCUCAUUAGACGGUCUAACCCUAAGUUUUAAUGCAGUCUACAUAAACACCACUAUAAAUGUUGGGAGACUGACUUGUUCAUAAGGGAGGGUUGCUAGGGUUGGUACGUAGUUAUCUGUAUCCAAGAGGAAUAAUUAGGUUAUGGAAACAAAGAAGUUCAUCCGCGCAGCGCCUCCAUAAAGCAAGUAAAGCAACCGGUUUAGGCCCCAUAUUUGUGGGGCCCCAUUUUUUAUCGCACCUAAUAGACUCAGAGACGGAUUCAGAACAGUGAUUCACCGAAGCGACGAGACCUUGAAAGCUGCUUUUUCAAGUGUCAGUAGCGGAUUUUAAGCUUAUGGGUUCCUACAACAAUCUCAAGUUAAUCUAAAUGAUAAUUGGAUCAACGAACUGGGUUCCAAGUUAAAUAUUCUUAUAUUUUUAAUAAAUUUUUUAAUACAAAUACAGAGUUUAUGCAAAAGUUACUGGGUUCACGGGAACCCGUAUCCUUUUCUCUGGAUCCGCCCCUGAAUAGACUAUGUAUAAGUUUAAAAAAGAGUUCUGUAAAGUAAAAAAAAUUUAUUUCUUUCUAACAAAUAUAGAGAAGAAGGAUUUGCAACUGCUAUAAUUUCUACUAAGGAAAUUGCACUUAAAAUGGAUAUCGAACCUGAAUUUUGUAAGAAACGUGUGCUAUAUAGGAAGUAACAAUUUGAUGCAAAUAUUAAUAAUGAAAUCCCAAAAUCUUUCGAAGAGUCCUUUAGAGUUAAUUACUUUUAUACAUAAUAGACAAGGUUAUUUUUUCACGUCACAAUAGAUUUGAACAAUUCGAAGCAUAUGAAAAUAUUUUUAGUUUUCUAUUUGACAAUAAAAAUUAAGAUCACUAGAUGUUGGAAAUUUGAAAAACUAUUGCCUUAAUCUUGAAUGUUCCUUAAAGCAUAAUAGUCAAUUCGAUAUUGAUGGUUUAGAUUUAUUUUCUGAAUUAAAAAUAUUAAGAAAAAUAGUACAAUUAGAAGAUAACAGUUUAAUUGAUACACUUAAUCAAAUAAAAAGAUUUAAUUCUUUUCCAAAUGCCUAAAUUGCUUAUGGAAUAAUGCUCAUAACUCAAGUUACCGUUGCUUCAGCGGGAAAAAGUUUUCAAACUUAAAAUUGAUAAAAUCUUAUAUAAGAACAACAAUAUCACAAGAAAGGUUAAGUGGAUUCCUUAUAUUGUCAAUUGAGAAAUACUAAGAAAAUUAAAUAACUAUGUAUCUAAAAAAUACUAAAAAAAAAAUAGACUUCAAAUCAAUUUAAAAAAAAUUAAAAAGUUAAGGUCCCUCAUAAAUUUUGGCUUUAGGCCACAAAAUUCGUCGGGCCACCCCUGGAUACAAGUUGUUGUUGUUGUAAAUACGCUUGUGUAAAGAAAAAACCUGUAAGUCUUGUACUAUUUAUACUGUAUCGUUUUGAUGUAUACAAUGUUUGGAUAGAUUGUCUUGUUUGUUGUUGUUCCAUGAUGUCAUGCACCAAUAAUAUAUGAAAAAUAAACUUGUAAUAUUAUAAAAUAAAAUAAAAAGUAAGGUGAUAAAAUAGAUUUAUUUAAUAAUAAGUAAGGGCAAGAUGAGAGAAAAAAAUUAGAUAACGACGCGAUCACACCAAAUCUCAUUCCAUAAAGUGGUACUUUUUAUCGUUACGUAGCGACGGAUUUAACAAUAUGAUACAACAAAAUUUAAGUAACAAAUCAAACAAGCAUUGUAUUUAAAAUAACAAUACAACCAUCCAAACAAGUUGUACUAUACGACGAUACAUUAUAAAACGAUACAUAACAACUAUCCAAACAAGCUGAAACUAGCGUAUACAUGUUUUACUACAUCCGUAAGUCUCCUAAACUAGCGUAUACAUGUUUUAAUACACAACGCGAAAAGUAAUCAUCUUUCACAGAGUAUAUGUGUACCUGAUAAAUGUAGUUGUAUAAGCAAGACAGUAGACAAAUUGUUAACCUCAUAUUUUCAGCUCUUUAUUCAAUACAUGCAGCUCUAAGCUCAGUAUUCAGUAUACUUUUUCGUGGUAUUGCAUUGUACAAAGCAAAAUUCAUGUACCAGCACAACAUUUACAGUUUUCACAUUUGAAAUACAAAAGUAAGAAUGAAGAAAAAAAAGCAUAUGCUACAGUUCUAUCCUUUAAAUAGAAAAGGAAAGAACAAAUUAUACAUGGUAAAUCAUUCCAACCUCCAAAGUUGAAGCACGAGGGAAGCUCAAUGCAUAUGUUGGCCCGCGACAAUUCCUUCUCAAAAAGUCAUAUCCUAUGUCAACCACCAGUUUUUUUAUCAAACUUGAACCUCUCUUUGCUCUUACAUAACAAUGUCCAAGGAUAAACGCCAUGCCUGCUUCCCGCGCUUCCAUCAGUUCUUGCAACUCUGCACGAACGCUUAAAUCCAUUUGUGGACUCUCUGGCACCAGAAAUCUCACUCUCUUUCUUGGUACUUCUGGGGAACUGAUCUCAAUCAUUUCUGUAUCUUUAGUGUCUAUGUCCUCGCACAUUGUUACUCCAUCAACAUGUGUUGAAGUUGUUCCAAUAACUGUCAGUUUCUCGUUGUCGUCUAUACCUUCAGCAGCUUCAAAACUCUGUGCUGGUCCCUCUGAGCGGAUGAAUUCAGCUAUGCUACAAACUAGAUCUUUUUCAAACUCUACGUCGUCCAUGUGAAUAUCUCGAUAACCAUAUCGUGCUAUACAUCUGUAGACGCGGUACUCUUUUGGUCCAAUUCUUCCCACCAAGAACCUUUCUUCAGGUCUCACGUGAGGUACUGGUACGGACUUGACACAAAGGAAAACAAGAACCUGGUGGAAAGCAGGUAGGUUGGUGACGAAAUGUGAGAAAAUUGCUGGAAUUCCUGAAACAAGCUCGGUGUGGAUGAGGCCAAUGCCACGGACCCGUGUAAUACCCAGGUUGGGACUCAAGGUGAGCAGCCAGUUGAUGGGAAUUUUGUUUUCAACAUCAAACUCGUACUUUUUCAGGGUGCCAUAAUGCCAACUGUACAUGACGACUAGAAAUAUCAAAGAGAGAACAAUCGGUACCCAGGCCCCUUCGAGGAACUUGAUUAGGGAAGCUGAAAAGUAGAGGGCUUCAAUGGAACCAAAGAAGAAUAUAAAGCAAAUGGCAAGUAACACGUUUUUGUGCCAGCAGAGGACAAUGACUAGAGACAUAAAGCACGUAGUGACCAGCAUAACAGUUAUAACUGCCAGACCUGCAAGAGAAAAAGGUUGCACUGUAACAAAUACGCGUAGUGAUUUCAAACAAAAUUUAGUCCUACACUUUCUCAGCCUUUUGGCUAAGAUCGAGGGAAUUUCAAUAAAUUCAGUUUACAUUUAAAACUGUUCAAUUGCCUGAUGCACAAAAUGAUAACUGCAAGUUGCGAUUAUCUGGUGAAUAUUUAUUUUGGUACACCUAAAGUUCAAUUGUAGUCUGUCUAUAACAUUUUCUAUGAGGUUGAGAGUUAAUUAACUUCCUCUCAGUAUCAGAAAUAACACGUGCACAUUUGGAAGAUCGUCUUUUUACAUUAUGUGGCUUGCAACUUAUCCUUGCAUUUUUCCCUAUUAAUAGUAAAGUAUAACUAAUCAAGAGGUUAUAUUAUUAUAAUAAACUACCAAGAUCAAUUUGAGAUCAGAAAAUAUCAGGAAAAAUGAAUUUUCUAUUCUACCCACUGAUGUGUUAAAAGAGAGUUAUGUUCCAAUCAGAAAAGAAAAGGAGGAAUAUGUAAUAAAACGUGAAACUUAAUCAGGCUUUUAUAUAACAGACUCAGAAUCCUUUAGUGACUUCAUGGACAAUGCAUAUUAUUUGGCUGUUAAUGAUACCUGAUGCGUUGCUUAUGUGUUUCGUGUCACGGAAGCCAAUAGUAACUGCCAAGCAUAGCAACAUCAACGUCCAGUUUAUCUCUGGAAUGUAAAUCUGGCCAUGGAUUUUGGACGAUGUAUGUACUAUUUUGACCCUUGGGAAGCAACCCAAAGCAGAACAUUGCUUGAUUAUAGAAAACGUCCCAGUGAUGAUGGCCUGGCUUCCAACCACUGCAGCAAGUAUAGCAAUAGCCAGAACAGGAUACCGCAGUUUUUCUGGGACAAUGAUGAACAUAUAAAUUAGUUGAAAUGUUUAAACUAGAUAUACAUGCUGCAUUCAAAUGCACGAAGAGAAAAAGGAAAGAAAAAAAGAGAGAAUGUAGCGAAGAGAGGAGCAAAGUACUUACCAGGUACUGAUACAUAGAACCCGAUGUGGUAAUCACCUUGGAUAACAUGAUGCUUGGAAAGAUACGCAGCUUGUCCCAUAUAAGCAAGAAUUAAUGAUGGGUAAACAACAAACGUAAAAGCUAUCUGCAGAGAAGCAGCUCUUAUUGGGACUUGGUUGAAUUUGCAGUUGCCAACGUAAAGCAUUUUAACUCCGUACCUCUACAAGGAACUUUAUUCACAUUGAACAAAACAUCUGCAGAUAAUCUCAGUUUGACAAUAAACACUCCAACACACAUUAGCUCAGUAUCUUACAAAAUGUGUGGUACACAUUUGACAGCUCUCAUAUGAAGCAUAGUUCAUCUCAGGAUACUGCUCUCAAGCAUGCCGAGGCAGCUUACUAAGCUAAGAUGACUAGAUUUGACCAAUCUUUUUCGAGAAAGUAAAGCUGGAAAGACUUGAGAACAUGAGUGAGUCAGUCCAAGGAAAUUUUGGAAAAUUUGAAGUGAUCAAAAGCAUCUAGAUGUUAUCCGACUUAGAUUAGGAGAGCAGAGAUUUGCAGGUAUGACUACCUAGCAUACAUCUAUUCAAGUUUUGCUAAUUCCUCAGUCACCUUGCAAUAAAUUAAAUGUUGUGCACCAGUUUGUCUAUCAAUGCUCCUCAUUGCAGUAUUUAACACAAGUUCAAGAAACUGAUACAAAACCAUUCAGUGCCAAUAUUUCUGGAAUGGGCAAAAGGGAAAGAGUGCCAAACAUACGAGGACAGAAGGAGUAAUAUGAAAGAUGGGUCAAAUAAUUAAGAGUAGUAACUUUAAGUCACAGCUGAAUGCUAAUUCAUUGUGUUCAUUUAACCUAGUAAAUACCAGUUACAUGCUUGAUUGAACAGUCUCUAUCUGAAAAGUUAGUCUUACAAUAAUAAGCUUCAAGAGUUGCAUAACAAAAUUACUUGAGUUAUUUACCUGAAUAGACAGCUGGGAAAAGUGUCCAAGAUCAGCAAACAUAGCUUCUGAACCUGAAAGUUGGACAAGCAAAGAGAGUAUAAAAUUAACUAGGAAGAAAGAAGGCCCAUCCACUGUUAAAAGAAUAGGUCAUAUGCCAAGAAAUGUCAAAUUCCCACCAAAAAUAUCAAGAGAACAAAUUUCACAUAAAGGAAUGCCGUACCUGUUAUACAUAAUAAAAUCCCACCCAGGGACAUCCAUCCUCCUCUUUGGGUCUUCUUUAAGAAUUUGUACAUGUAGUAUGGAGAUAAUGCUUGAUAAACAUGAGGGUUCCAGUGGAAGAUGUUGUACAGCCCAAUUGCACUAAUGCAAAAAAGCCAUGUAAUCACAAUAGGUGCAAAUAGAAAUCCUAUUCGAUGUGUCCCAUAGUGCUGGAGAAAAAAUAAGAACACAAGUAUCACACAAGCAACUGGAACUUCUACAUCUGCAGGGUAAAGAAAUAAUUCAGCACAUUAUUCAUUAGUUCCACAGUUGUUGUUUCUUGUUUCAACAAAAAAAUAAGGAUCUCGUGUUAAUAUGAUAUGAGGACAAUACUAACUAAUGACAUCAUCUUAACAGGCAAAACUAGAAUUCAGCAAUUAUAGAAACAAAAUAAGUUAGCUUCUGACUUGCAUAAUUUCAAAAGUUAACCAGAAAAAUCAUGUAAACUCCGAACAAGUUAAGAAAACAUCACAAUUGUAUCAGAUAUUACAGAGAACUACCUGCUGUUUCACUUCGCAAGUAAAUUAUUAAAGGCAAGGAAACAGGCAGACUUUUCACCUUUGGUUCGCUCAUGGACUAUUGAUUUUCUGUAAAUCAUUUAACUAUCAUAGAGGAAUAUAAGUAACCUCAGAAGGAUGUAGUAUGACAGAAAGUUGGAAUUUCAUCCAUACAAUUGAAUGGAACUAUUCUGGAAAUUAUAUGUCUGGUUUGAACCACAUUCUCAGACUACUUCCAAUACAGAAAUCCAUAAGUUAUGGGUAUGAGUCCAUCUUCGAGUAAACUUUUCAACUUACGAGCCAUAGGCAAUAUUUAUAUGAAUAUUAAGAUUUCUUAGCUUAUUUUCCAAACAAUUCCAUAGAUUGGUUAACAUUAUGCUGUCAAAGGGAUAUACUCAAUCAUUUAGGUAAAUAUUUUCUAGAGGACAUUCAUUAUCAUAAUCCACAAUGGUUAAUUGUAUCAAUAAAGGUUGAUGGACUUGAUUCAAGCCUUGUGCAUGUGAACUUAGCCUGGUAUUUAAAUGGAGAAAGGUAUAGGGGCGGGCACAUUAUCCCCGAGUUUCGAAGGCUAUGGUUGGUCCUAUAGGUUGGACCAGAGAGAAUUUUCUCGGUCAUCAAAAAAAAUCUUUUCCUGUGUUAGAAUGUCAGAAUGGUAGAUUGGAUAAAUUAUCCAAACCAGAAGUCAGACGAAAGUAUAAUGUAUAUAUUGGAUAAACUAUCUCUAAAAGCUCACAGGUGUAAGAAAACUUGUCUAAUGCAUUCUCCCAAUAUAUUUUCUUAUUUUCUCACAUUAUAUAUUAUAUCUCAGAUAUGCUUCGUGAUACAAGAACAAACAGAGAGGGCACUUGUCUUUAAGGAGCUCCAAGAGACAUUCAUACUAGUGCCAUAUUUUCUUCCUUUCUAUUUCAACAGAAUAACCAUUUUAUUCAUAAUUUCCAGUAAGUUAAAACAUUAUCCACCACCUCUGCUUUACGAAAUAAAAAAACUAUGUUUCUAAAGUUGAAACCUCACUUUAAAAAUUAGGAUAACAUCAAUGUGGUCUAUGGAGAAAGCACCUAACUUUAUUUCUUUAUUGAUGUUGAUAUGACUUUGAUUACCAUAUACAUUUUGUCUUAAUUUAGUAUUAAGGGACCCACAAUAAUGCAUCUUCAUUAAAUAUUGGUAACCUCUCCAUGUCACAAAUUGCACGACCAUUAGAAAAAGUUUCCAGAAAAGUGAACCAACUUAUUAUAUUAAAUACUCAAGUCUUGUUACAUCUAGCCCAAACACAUCUGAAUAAAGUAGGCAUAAAUCAAAAUAUAAUAAGUUAGAGAAAUCAAGAAAAACUAAAGAUAAUCACUUGAGAUCAGCCAUAAGGAACUGAUCUCUAUCUACCCCAACAGUUCAUUAUGAAACUAUUUCAAAUUAUUAUCUUCCCCAUUUCCCACCCGUAGGAUUAUACGGUAUGUUGUUGUUGUAUCUUCUCGCCUCGGCCAUAAACACUCACUGGUUCUUUUCAUUGAUCAGCCGGCUAGGGUAUCAGAAUAUCAUCUAUUAUUAUUCUUUGGCAUAACAAGGAUGAAAAUCUAUUAACAUAAUGGAAUAAAGCUGUAAAAUAAAAUAGAUAUAACUUUUGAUUCCUCAUCUUAUUCAACAAAGGGGUACGGGCAAGGGGCCAUAAGGGAACAAUAAAUCUGCCAAAAAAAUUUGGACUCACAUUGGUGAUGAUGCUUUGCCAUUGAAAGUUCAAGUCCAGAGACAGCAGAGAAUACUGCAGAUUCAAUGCACCAUAAAUUAAAUAAAAUAGGAAAGGAUUAAUUUAUCAGCAUCACAACAUCUCCAAUCUGGCAGAUAAACCAAGUCUAACACGGAUCAUACACAAAGGCGGAUUCAGAAACUAAAUUCAAUGAGUUCAACCUUUAUAACACGGAUUCAGAACUUGAUAUAUAUUGAAACUUCAGUAAUUUUUACAUAUAUGCUCCGCGUAGAAAAUACCUGAGAUUGCAGGGGUAAGGACUCCAUCACCAAUAACCAUACAAGUCCCAAUCAAAGCUAAAAUGAGCAAAAUUUUCUUCAAAAAUCUGUGUUUCUCAAGAGUUGAUUUCAAGCUCAUUCCAAUCCUAUCAGCUGACAAUUUUCUAUCAUUCUUGUACUCAUAUAAAUCCUCAUCAGCCAAUUGACCAUUAGGCAAAGUACUAACACGGGCAUGACGGCACAAUAAGGAAUACAAAGCAAAAGUCCCACCUUCACCAUUAUCAUCAGCUCGUAAUACUAUGAACACAUAUUUAAGCAAUGGAAUAAGAGUUAAUGUCCAAAACACAAAUGAUAAAACUCCAAAUAUCUCCUCAUUAGACUCUGAAUGAUGAAUAUCCUCUGCAAAUGUGCUCUUGUAUACAUAUAAAGGUGAAGUACUCAAAUCUCCAUACACCACACCUAAACUCUGAUAAGCUAAGGCUAAAACUGUCCUCCAAGAUUCUUUCUGCAACAAAAUUGGAAUAUCAAAAAUGACUCAAAAGCUCAAUUUUUUCAAACAUGGGUAACAUAAUAUUGCCAAAAAUCUAACCUUUAUUGGAUUUUCACGACCCCAACUUUCAAUAUCCAUUACUAGACUAAUCAAGAACUUGAAAAAAAGCUCAUACUUGGCAAAAUCUUGAAAUGGCUAGUGGUUGAGCAGCACUGCCUUUAGUUGAAGAUAUUGCAACAAAAAUCCAAGAAUUAUAAAGCUUUGGCCUUAUGAGUGGACUGAGAAAUUGAGCGACCCACAGGAAAGAACAUUUAAGGGACAGACACAAAACACCAUGAGGAAAAAACAAAGAUGAAAAAAAAAGGUUGGUGGAAAUUGGAGCUAAGCUGUUUUUUGUUAAAUAGAAAAAUGAUGACAAAAAUAUAGGAGCACACCUUUUGGUUCACCUUAAAUAAUGACACUAAUCCCUGUAAGAAAGGGCAUUAUCACAUACCUAAAACAAAAUUAUGGAAUAGAAAAUUUUCAACUUUAUAUGACAAGAACCCAAAUAUAUACGUGCAGAUGCACUAAAACAAGAAAUGUGUGAGGUUUUGUUUCUUGGCUGGAGGUUCUGGUAAUGGAGUAGUGGAAUAUUUUGAGUGGGUGGGGUGGGUAUGAAAUUCACCAGUAACACGUAAGCUACAGAGGCAACUGAGUUUUGGGGUGGGGGGUGGGGGUGGGGGUGGGGGUAAGGGGAGUGAGUUUUUGUCAGUGAAUGAAUGUAUUGACUGCAGGCCACCAACUUAGCUGAUAUUCUGACAUAUAGCACUCCCCAUUGAAAGCAACGGUUUAUUUGCACCACAAGCGUUUUAAUGGAAUAGUAAAUGUUAAGUCCUCUUAAUUAAAGAUUUCGGUUAAUGAAAUACUCCUUUCGGUCCAUAAUAACUUAUCAAUUUAUUUUUUUAUUUUGGUCCAAAAUAAGUAUUUAUUUAUAUAAUCAAGAAAAAAUUUAAUUUAUUUUUCUAAAAUUACCUGUAUGUAUAUAUCCUAAAAAUCAUUUACUCCUCAUAUUUGAGAAGAUGAGUGUUAUUAUAACAUGAUGCAACAUUUAAUGAAAGGUAGUUUAAUCGCACUAACUAUUUUCGUCUAGAAUUUAAAAUUUCCUUAAUGAGUGUGCCCAAAGUAAAUUGGUCACUUAUUAUGAACCAGAGGAAGUAGUAAAAUCUAACUCUCUCUGUUUUAAUUAAAUAUUUCGAGUUCCAGUCCUCAUACUAAAAUUAGCAAAUCAGAAUCUUUUUACUUAAAUUUCAAAUUCAAACUGUAGUAAUUAAAAAAAUUAAUCGAAAUGACGGUCAAUUUAAUUUUUUAAACUAAAAAUAGUCGAUAGAUAUAUAAUAUGUGUAUGACUAUAUAUAAUUUAUGAACACUAACUAGAAAAAGUAAACAAUAAAUCUGGCCGACUAUAUUUGUAAUAAUAUAGAGAGUUUUUAGUGGGCAUACAAUGUACGAAUUUAAUUAGUGCAGUUAGUAAUUUUGAAUCAAGGAUGCAUGAAAAAAAAAACAUUUGAUAAAUGGACCAGUGAUUCAGUAACCAACAGAGACAGAGAGUUGGCUCGAAUGGUAACAGUUACAAGAAAGAAUGUGCUAAACUUGAGAAAAAGUAAAAGUAAAAACAAAGAGAGACCCAUAGGAAAGAACAAUGUACAGAAAAAAUAGACAAUGGGGAGGGACAAAGCAAAGAGAUAACAGAAGUGAUCGGUUUUUGUCGGGCCAAUAUGUACAAAAUACAAUAUAUUCAAACUUCCAACCACCUUAGUUUUUUUUUCUUUUUCUUUUCUAAAAUGAAAUAGUACCAAAAGAAUCUCAAUGUUCAUGACACUACACUUCUUUAUGGGGAAAAAAUUGAAUGAAGUAAAAGUCUUAGGGGCGUUCAUACCAACCCGAAAAAUCGAACCAAACCGAAAAUCAAACUAUAUCGAUCAAAAAAUCGAUACUUUUUGGUUUGAUUUAUUUUUUAUUUUGAAUUUUAAAAACCGAUCAAAUUUGGUUUGGUUUUGGUUUUAAUCAAAAAAUAAUCGGAAAAAAUCCGAACCAAAUCGACUAUAAAAGUAGCUAUUUCAAAUUUAUUAUUAUUAUUAUUAUUAUUAUUAUUAUUAUUAUUAUUAUUAUUAUUAUUAUUAUUAUAUAUUAUUGUAUAUGUUAAUCAUUUGCACCUUUAAUUGCCUUUAUAUUGUAGUUUGAUUGGUAGUUUUCUUUUGCUAAGUAUAAGAAUUCAUUUUAUGUUAAAACUAAUCUAUUUUUAAUUGAGUCCUUAAAUUAUUCAUUCAAUUAUCAUCAAUAUAUCUUGGUAAAUGAUAGAUUUCUCAAAAGGCAAUUGAUUUGAUAGUGUUAUGUUGAAAAUGUAGUCGACGGAAUAUGUGUUUGGUGGUGUAUGUCUCAUAUUUAAGAAAAAACCCGAUAAAUAACCGAAAAAACAAAAAACCGACAUAAACCGAAUGAUAAAAAACCGACUUAAUUGGUGUGAUUUGGUUCUAAUAUUUGAAAAAUCGACUUACUUAAUUUGAUUUCUUUUUAAGGAAAAAUCGAUCCAAACCGAAUCAUGAACACCCCUAAGUAAAACAUUGUUCUUUUAAAUAUAAGGAUUAGUAGCUUCUUCUAUCUAUGGGUAAAUUAUCUGCUAGCUAGGCGUAAAAUCAUAUUGAGGAAUGUUAUAUUAAAAGACUUAUAAUUUUUCCAAAUCAAUGCUAAGGACAAAAGACAGUAAAAGCGAAAAACUCAUAUAGGCAAUACUAUAAUAUAAUUUUAGCUUGGUAGAAACUUGUAUAUCAGACGUCUAAUUGUCUAAAUAGAAGUGUGAGAUUUUGAUUAAUCUUAGAAAAAUCAUAUUAUUAUAGCUUUAAGAUGAAUUAAACCCAAAUUAAGCGAUAAAGUUAUAUUCAAUUCACACAUUUUACCCAACUUUACUUAAACUAAUCGACGGCUCGACUGAUAAUUUUUUGACAUUACGUGACGUGAGUACAACAAAUAAAGUAACGUUGUCAUUUUAGUGUAUGUUAUGGACUAAUAACUCAGAUGUUGAAAUAUGUGAAUGUGAAAUGACAUAAAAUUUGGGUAAAUUUUGGUUGCUUCUGUAAUUGUGGACCACAAAUUUUAGGAUCGGAAACUUCAAGAGAGAAAAUUGACAACUUUAAAUAAUACUACUAGAAGGAAAAGGGGGCUAUCAAGUGUCCCCUACCUCUAAAGUAGCUUUAGCUUGCACUUGAGCACUUAUCGUCCCCCUCUCCCCCCCCCCCCCUAUUUUUUUUCUUUUUGGAAUAAAUAUAUAAAAAAUAAAUAAAAAGUGCUAGCAUUGAAGAUUGAAGAGUUGGUGACAAAGAGGGCAAUGAAGACUCAAACCAAAAUAACCACAUGUAUGUAUAUUUAAGUGGGCGUUGGGACAUAAGAAUUAUAAAAUCGCGGGAAAAAAUGAAUUUUUUUAAGUAAAAUAGUAUUUAAAAAUUAGAGUUGUAUUUGGGCAUGAAUAUAAUUUUGUGUUGUUUUUGAAUUUUUGCGAGUGAUCUGAGUGGAAAUUUUGAAAAACAUGAGUUUUUCAAAUUUUCGAAAAAUUUCAAAAUUCAUCAAGUGAAAAUUGAAAAUUGUAUGGCUAAACAUUAUUUUCGAAAAAGGGUGAAAAAUAUUCAAAAAAAAGUGAAAAAAUUUCAUAGCCAAACGGGCUCUUAAGUUUUUAUAGUUUUCGACCCAAUAUCUAGUAUUUUUGUUGGGGAAUUAACUAAUUUAGAUUCACAUUAUAUAAGGUCCUACCAAUAUGGUAGUACUUUCUAUCAAGAUUUUUUAAAUUUUCAAACAUCGAAAAUAAUCCCUGGUUGUGUAUAUUAAGUUGAUUUUGUCAACAGGGGCGGAUGCAAGGUAAAAGAGCCGGGUUCAAUUGAACCCAUAGUUUUUUAUGCGGAGUAUAAAUUUAUGUGUAAAAAUUUACUAAAGUUGAAACAAAUAGUAGAUCCGAACUCAUAACUUUAAAAGUAUAAUAGAUUCAAUAUUAAAAAUCUUAAAGUUGAACCCAUACACUAUAAAUUUUGGAUCCGCCUCGGUUUGUCAAUACUCACAAAGACCUAACACUUUGAAAUAUUCCAGCACGUUUUUGGACAAACAAUUAUUUUCUCCAUGAAGAAAAAGGGGAAAAAAUCGCUUGAAGGGUUGGCUUUAACGAACUUGAAAAGUUAUUAAUGACAGUUUGUUUAAAAAUGGAAAUUGAAGAGACGGGAAAUCAAGAAACAAAACUAAAAGUAGGUGGUUGGCCAAAUAAAUAAAAGAGAAAAAAUCUAAUAUCGACGCCUACAUAUUUGGUAGAGUUUCUCUCUUAUUUUUCCGUUUAUUUAUUUAACUUUUGAAAAGUGAUAGGGAUUACUAGCAUGUUUGGCCAAGCUUCUCCAAUUAUAGAAGCAUAUUUUUUUUUCAAAAAAAAUAUUUUUUUUCAAAGUUAAAAUGUUUGGCCAAGCUUUUGGAAUAAAAAAAAGAAGCGGAAGCACUUUUGGAGAAGCAAAAAAAAAAUAGCUUCUCUCCGGAAUCACUUUUGAGAAAAAUACACUUAGAAGCAGUUUUUAAAAGCUUGACCAAACACUAUAUUGCUGCUCAAAAGUGCUUUCAAAUAAAUUAAUCAAACACAAACUGCUUAAAAAAAGUACUUCUUAAAAUAAACUAAUUUUUGUAGCUCGGCAAAACAGGGUAUACAACAGAGAUUGUUGAAUAUGGUAGGUAUCCCUCAAUUUUUUAUUUGUAGUUUCGAAUUGGAACUCUGAAAAUAUAGUUAAUCUUUGGUAUUGAACACUAUAUACUUUAAGAAUAGGACUUCUAAAGGUGAAUCAAAAUUAUUCAAAAAGUAGCGCGGAUAGGAAAUUAAAAAAAGAAGUGGUGGGGUAUAUUUUCAUAUAUAUACUUUUUCUUUUUUGUUUUAGUGGUGUUUCCAACUUGCAAGUAUGUUGUCCCAAUUAGCAAAAAAAAAAGUAUGUUUGUCCCAUGCUCCACAAAAUUAUGCAGAUCAAAGAAAAGGGAGGAAAUGAGACAGAAUUUUGAGCACUUGGUACUAUCUUCUCCUUAAUAUAUGAGAAAGAAAAUUUAUAUUGGGAUUGUCGAAAGUUGUAUAGGUCCAAAUUUGGCGAGCACGGUAACAGAUAAGCAGGACAAAGGACGGGGUCGACCACAAUAUAACAGCUGAAAGUCGUUCUCACAAAAGCUGAUACCCAAGGCAGGCAGUUGAGAUAGGAUAGUAACGGUAGCUUAGGUUCACAAAAGUUGAUACCCAAGAAUAUUCCUUUGAAUAUUCUUUAUGCUGUACUUUUAGGAUUUUUGAGGAAUGUCCCUUAUAAAUAGGAAGAGAUAGGGAACAAAAAUGAGAUCUGCCUUUCUGAACUGAAACACAUUGUAAAAGGCGAAAGAAGAAUAUACGAAAUAGUUGUCUUGUUCAUUUAUUUAUCCAAGCACACGUUGUUCAAUCUUGAUCCAUAAAUCUCAAGAUCUCAUAUAUAUUUUGACUUCUCGUUUUUCCACGUUGCCGUCAGAGAAAAGAAAUAUCUCAAUCAUAUAAUCAUUGGGUGAUAGUUCCUUUCCCAUUAUAUUCCUCGCCAUUACUUAUAGUUAUUAUACAUUUAUGCUAUCAUAUUUAUUGUCAAACAUAACGUGUUAAGUUCGAUGUUUAAUGCUCCUGAGCUCUACUCAUUAUACAAAAGCUUUAUUUUAUUUGGUCUAGAAUUUAUUAAGUUCAAUUAAGAUUCACCCUUUAACUUAUUAUUUAUUGGUUUAAUAUUUAUUUGCUCAAAUAAAAGUAAUUAUGCCUCUCCCUAUUUAUGUGAGCUGCUCAUGUGAUAACUCACAUGGUUCGACAAUAUUAAGGUUAAAUAAAACGGUAUUCGACAAGAUUAAGGAGUUCCACUACUUUCUUUGGAGUUGUGCUCUAACCACCAUCAGCAACACUUUCAAGAUUUUAGGUUAAUUAGUGAUUUUAACUGUUUUAUUAAACUGUUCUUAUGCGAAAAUAGAUGUCAAACUUAAUGUAAAUAUUUAAUUUUCUUAAGUACACACUCCCUCCGGUCCAUUUUAAUUAAUUUUUUGACUUUUUUAUGGUCCACGUUCCACAAUAUUUGAUUUUUUCAGAUAUCAAAAAGGAGUUAACUUUUUUCGAAAGUUGUCCUUGGAGUAAAGAGUGCAGGAGUAUUUAUUAUAUUUUCAAUGAACACAUUAAGGUUAAUAUAGUUAAUUUUAUUGUUAAUUAAUGUUAAACGAUGAAAUCCGUAAUAUGUGUGAAAAGAGCCAAAGAUCAAUUAAAGUGGAUCAAAGUGAGUAUUUAAUUAUAUAAAAGGAAGUUUACCUCUUAUAACAAACUAUUACACCCUAUUUAUUAUAAACCAAAAAAAUUUCAAAAUAUUAUUACUCACCGCUACCUUUUCUAUUUUAUAGCAAAAUAAAUAUUUAUUUUAUACCCUAUCAUUAAGGAGUGAAUUAGGCCAAUUAUGUUCUUUAUCUCUCUCACCCUCUUCCCCUCUCUGUCAGCAAGAUUCUCAAUCUUCUCAUAUCAAUUACUUAUCAUGGAGCCGAGAUUGAUGCACCAGCCAUGCGAAUCCACAUUAGUGAGAGAGUAGCAAGUCAGUUAACCAAAUGUUAAUUUUUACUUUUCAAACCUGAGCACAGAAUUAGGUGUCAAGAUUAUCAUAAUAUCCUGAAUCUGAGAAUGAGAAAUUCACACAUGAAAGUCCAUUGGAAAAAGUAACACCCUCAGCAAAUAGGAUAUCCACAUCUGAAGGUUCAUAGUCAGCAUAUAAGAUAUCCACGCUUGAGAAGAUUUGAGGGCCGAGUUUUCGUUCGUCUCCAUUUUUAGUUUUCAUACAAUGUAUACAAUAUUUUGCUUGGCCAAAAAAUGUCAUUUUUGACGAACUUUCUAAUCUUCUUUGCUAUUGAGUCACAUAUAAAGAUACAAAUAUAUCGUAUUAUGUACAAAUACACUCAAAUACAUUGUGUUUUUGUAUAAAUAUAUUAUUUUUCGCCUGUAUUUAUGUAUUUCGAAGGUCUAUAUUUUUUGAAUAUAACUGAUUAUCACUGUUUUUGUAUUUUUUAUUAUUGUUAAAUACAGUCAAAUUGAAUGUGGUGAAUUGAAUACAAUAUAUAAUAGUAAAUAAUGAAUAUCUGUGAAUUGAAUACAAUGUAUAUAAUCAAAUUGAAUAAAACGAUAUACACCAUAUUUGGGAAAAUUUUACAUUAGAACAACAAGGUUCCAUAUUUUUCAAUUUUAUAGCCCAUAUUUUAAUUUACAAUUAACUAGCCCAAAAAUAAUUGGUUAAUACUCAAUAUUCAACUCCAAUAGGUUCUCGAAAUUACUAUUUAAUUUUUUAAAAAGAUUGCUCAAGCUUUUAAAUUAUUUUCGAAUAAGUAAUUGUGACUCAAAUAUUAGUUCAACAAACUAAAUCCAUUUGGGUGGUAAAAAUUAGAUUUUUAACAAGCUUAAAUAUGUGGGUUUAAAUUUUGAAUUUGAUUUUGUAAGAAAUUUGGAGUUGGUGUUAUUUAGACUUGUUAGAAAUAGUAUAAGGAGGUUGUAUAUAAAAUUUGAAGUCAUUUAAUAGAGGUUUGGACUGGUUUUGAACAAUAAUUACAACUGAAAAUCGUGGAAGAAGUUCGUCUAUAAACGCUUGUAUAAAGGUGUAUAAAAGUGUAUAAGAUGUGUUUAUACACUAUUAUACAAGAUUAUACAUAAUUAUACAAAAAACUGACUUCGUCUUCUUCCUUGCGUCUUUUCUGAAAUUUAACUCAAAUCUACUUCAAAUUUAAAUAUUGAACUCUUUUUGAUAUUUUCAAUCAAAUGGAACAACACCCAUUCCAAAAAAAAAAACUAACAAACUCAAAAAAUCCUAUUUUCGAAAGCAAAGCUUUGAAUGACUUUCAAUGGUGGACUUCUACUCUUUAAUUUUUUUACAUUGCAACCUGGUGACAUAGGGAGAGAAGCAGAAAAUAAACGGGCCGUUGAAACAUAUGUAAAAGAUGUGAGAAGAAGAGAGAGUGAAAGCAAUGAUUGUGAGAACCCAGAUUUAACUCCAUAGCUUUUAGAGGCAAUGAUUGUAAGAACACAAAUUUUAAAUUUGCUAGUGCUUUCAAAAUAUAUGCAAUAUGGGCUAGGUCGGGUAAAACUUAAAAACAUGGGUCAUUUUUUAUUAUGGUGUGAAGUCAUGUGUAUUUUCUUGUAAUUCUCUCACCAUAUUUCUUGAUUUUUGUUAUUUGAAUAUAACUGAAUUCAAUAUAGUAAAAUUUAAUACAAUUCAAUAUUGUGUUUUCCGUUAUUAAACACCCGUAAUUACUAUUUUUAAGCGGAUUACCUAUUUAUAAAUACAGUAGCGCGAAUACAAGAAAUACAGAAUUAAACAUCGGUAAUCCUUAAUUUUUAGGCGGAUAACCUUUUUUAAAUACAAUAGCAUGAAUAUAUGGAAUACAACACAAUAGCAAUAAAAUUUUGUAGAAUUGAUUUUGUUGAGUUAAAUUAGGAGUGAUACACGCUAAUUAAUCCUUUUUCCAUUAUUAAACAACUGAAUUCCCUUAUUUUUAGGCGAAUUCCGCUACCAUAGCACGAAUACAUCAAAUAGUCAUGUAACUACUAAAUAGUAGUUACAACUAUAGGAAGUUGAUAGUCAUUAAACAAUUUUUAAAAACUCCUCUAUAAAAGACGAGUCCAGCACCGUGUGUUUGAUAUUUCUUAUGGCAUAUAUAUUCAAUACUUGCAUCCACUCCCGAACAUAUAAGAGGUAGUCUUGAUUCUAAUUCAAAAUCAUAAAAAUUUAACUCAUAAUAUGAAAAAUAUACGAGAGAAUACAAGGAAACAACAGUCAAUUUUCAAAUACUGAGGUCCAGUGCAUGGACAAUAUUAAAUGAGAAACAAACGUUGGGCCAAGAAUAGAAUAAGUUCGUCUUUGUUUGAUAUGAGAAAUGAAAAUUAACAUUACAACUAAUUUAACCUUUAAAUAUAGUUCAUGAAUUGAUCAAAGACUGUAAUAUAAAGAAACAAUAGUCAAUUUGCUCUCAACUAAUGUGGAGUACUAAACUGACUCAACUAGAAUUAUGAAGGGCCAAAAAAAUAAAUGAAAAGAGUAAUUAGUGGACACGAUCAGUUGCAUAACCAAUCCAAGUGGCAAUAAUUGGGAAUAUUAAUUUUAAGAGAGUUAGCAGAUGAGAUCAGAGAAUCAAGUUAUGAUUCUGUUGUUUCCUGUUCCCAAAGUAUGCUAAGUAUUAAUUAGAGAUUUUAAUAAUAUGGUGGAAUAAUCUUACGUGGGAGAUUAGUAGGGUAGUGCCAUGGACGGAUUUAUGUAGUAGUGCUUUUCUCUGUGCCACAGAGUAAGAGGUAACGUGUACCAACUGGAUUUUCUAGUGUCAAAUCAAUGAAAGAAUAUCAUCACUCAACACCAAAUAAACCAGACUAUGUGGAAAGAUCGGGACUAAUAAAUAACGUGUUACACAAAUAACCAGCAGCAUUCAUUGUUUACUAUUUCUAAUAAUGUAUAUAGAUUAUACACAAUUAUAUAUAUAUAUAUAUAUAGUAUAUAUGAAUUGUGAGCGUUACUGUGUUAAAUAAAAAAUCAGAAAUAUUUCGAGUCCAUAAUUUUCUUGUUCGUCCUUAAGGAAUUUUAACUCCCUCACACGUUGCCAAGGUAAUGGAUUAAAUCCUCCCAGGAUAAAACGGAAUAAACCUUCCUGCAACAGUGGCAAUACAAACUGCAAGAUACCAACGAACUCAAAGUACGGAGCAAAAUUACACUUACGAAUUUGAGAGAGAGAGAGACUGCGAAUUAGGAUGCAAUAUAUUCAGAAAGAAAGAAGUUCUAGAGUGUUUUUCGUAUAUAGAAGAUGCAGCCUUGCCUCAGAAUUUAUAGGCAAAUAUCAGAAGAGGUGUCUGGAAAGGUGCCUUUUCAGAAAAUACGCGGCCAGAGAGGCUCUCUGAAUCUGACUGCCGCGAUUCUACCGCGUUCACGGCAGAACCGCGGCCAGCGAGGCCCUCUGAACUUUCAGCAGGGUUCUGGCGUAGUUUCAGCAGUGAUUUGGCAUUUAAUUAAUUAUUAAAUAAUUAAAUAAAUUUUGUCCAAAAAAUAAUCUUAUCGAUCAUUUGACAAAACCGAAGCCGAAGCCGAGCGAGCGACAACGACGGCGCGAGGGUUCAUUCUCUUCAACUCCUUUUAAGAGCUUUAAGAAGUGAAUCUAUAUAUAAGCACACAAAAGUGAUUGUCCCUCACCAAUGAAGGACAAAGUGCAAGACAAAAGUUCACUUCUUCAAAAUUUCCAUUUUCCCUCCAUUUUAUUUCUCUCCAUUUCCAAUUCACACUUCUUCUACUUUAAAGCCCAAUGGCUUAAAGUCCAACAUGAAUUCUAUAUAUAUUAUAUAUCUGUCGGCUAUUUUUAGUUUAAGAAAUUAGGUGGACGGCUAUUUAGGUUAAUUCUUCUUUAAAAAAUUUAAUGAAAUUUUUUAAUCCUGUUAAAUUAUUAGAUUUUAAAAAAUAUUUUAUAUAUUUAAUGAUUUUUUAAAACAAAUACUCCCCUUCGUCCCAUUUUAACUAUCACGCCCAUACAAAAAAUCAAUAAAUAUAAGGUAGUAUAAUUUACUAAGCUAUCCUUAUCAAAUGUUUUUUGAGAAUUGAUUAGUAUUAAAAAGAACUAGUACUUUAAUAUUAAGGGUAGAGUUGGAUACAAUUAACAAAUUUAAUCUAAUUUUAAAGUGAUAAUUAUUUUGAAAUAAAUUUUUUGAGAUAAAACGGUAGUUAAAAUGGGACGAAGAAAAUAUAAAAUUUAAAUCAAAUUAUUGCUUUCGAUUAAAUCCGUAACUUAUACUCUAACUCCGUCCUAUUCAUUAAUUGCACCUGGAUGGUGAUAGCUAGUGAGCUUUAAGUUUCGUACAUUAUGUUUUAGUUCCAUUAUGUGUCGUGAGAAUAUCGACUCUUGAGAAGUUCGAAUUGGUAUUCUAGACUUGCUAGAACCACUAAUAUUUUCUUGGUAUGCUAUAUACUAGGUUUCUUCAAUUUAGAAUAAUAUAUCUACAGUUUUAUGGAACAAAUCAAACAUUAGAAUAAGGGCUAUGGGUCACAAAAAUCUCUCGAUCGCGCCUUCUAAUGUUCUUAUUAAUUAGCUUUAAUAGUUAUCGAGGAAGCUAUUAAAGUUAAAUUUGAUCCCCAGAUAGCUUGUUAACACCUUAAUUAAUCCAUCUCGAUUCAGUAUAGUAAUAAUUUUUACACGGCUAGUAUCAGUGUAUAACUUAAAUCCUACUUUAAAUACUAUUCCGACCAAUCGCAAACACACAACAUAGUAUAUCAACAAACUAUAAAUGCGGGAUUGUUACACAAAUAACCGGCCAAAUUUACUGUUUAUUUUUUCUAGCCGAUAUGCAUACAUUAUAUAUUAACUAUAUACAAUUAUACAUAUGUUAUAUAUAUAUAUAUAUAUAUAUAUUCGCCGGGUAGUUUUAUUUAAUUCUUCUUUAUUUAAGACUUAUCUAGGCUUUUUCAUUAGUUGAAGAUUCUAGUGUGCAUUAAGAAAAUUGAUGCAUAAAGUUCAAGACAGUAAGUAUAUCUUAAUUAAGCGAUGCCAUAAUGGCGUUGGUUUUCUUCUAUGCUUUCUCCUCAGAGUAUAAAUUGAUACUAAUAAUGGAAAUAGAGAUCAAUAAUAGUCUGUAUUCUACGUGAGAAGAAGAUGGAUAUUAUACAAAACCCAUCACUAUCAACGGAUUAUGGUGAGGAUUGAAACAAACAAAGUUGUAGGAAACGUGUGGCAUCUUGAUUUGAAAGUAUCUAAACAUAUCUUUCAUCAUUCUCACUUUCUAUAAAUCAAGUGGCCUACAAAUUUGUCCCUCCAAAUUUGUGGAAAUAAAACCAUUACACGUAUUUGUAUACUUAUAUUUUUUUUAAAUCAAUGGAUUUUAAAAAAAGUUCAAUUAAGAUUUUCAUAUUCCUCUCUCCUUUUUUUCUUGGAAAUAAUUGCUAGACUUAAGAUAAGUUAUAUAGAGUGGUGACUAGACCAACUAUGUUGUAUAGGAUGGAGUGUUGGCCAGUCAAGAACUUUUAUAUUCAAAAGUUGAAAGCAACGGAGAUGAGAAUGCUAAGAUGGACGUGUGGGUUUACUAGGAGACAUAAAGUCAAUAAUGAAGCUAUUCGGGACAAGGUGUAGGUGACUCUCGUGGAGGAUAAGAUGCGGUAAGUGAGGUUGAGAUAAUUCGAACAUAUGAAGAGGAGUUGCCCGGGCACCCCUCCCCCGUGACGAGGUGUGAGAGAUUGAACAUCGUGUGCCUGAGAAGAGGUAGAGGAAGGCCAACGAAGAAUUAGAGAUAGGAGAUUAGGCAGGAUAUUACGCAUCGUCGAUUGACUGAGGACAUUACCCUUGAUGGGAGGUUGUGAAGGUCGAAGAUUAGGGAUAGAAGGUUAGUAGUAGUAGUAGUAGAGCAUAUUUCCUUCCAUUCCGAUAGCUGUAGUAUUACUCUUCUUUUGUCUUUUCCUUGGAUUUUUAGUAUUAUCUGAUGUUGCUAAUGCUUCGGUCAGUUAGUAUCUUGCUGUUGCUACUAUUCUUUUUCCUAUGACUCUCCACUAUUUUUAUAUUUUAAUUUGCUUUACUGCUUUGACUGUGCUUGCUUGAGCUGAAGGUCUUUUGAAAACAUGCUUUCUACCUGCACAAGGUCGGGGUAAGGUCUGUAUACACAUUAUCCUCUCAAACCUAUACGUGAAAAUAUACUGAGUAUAUUAUUAUUAUUAUUAUUUUAUACGCGAUUAAUGUAAGAAAUUUCUACACUACUAAGCCAUUCAAAGGAUAUCUAUAGCUAGUUCUUCCAUACAAAAAAAAGGUGACAUCUAUAAUAAAUUAAGGCAUGUUAUAAUUUUUAACUGGACUUAAGCUCUUUUCUUUCGACCUGUGGAGUAUAUAACUUUUAAAACUCUUUCUUUUUUGGCCAAAGGAUUUCACUCAAAAAGGAAUAAAGGAUGACAGAAAAAGGUUUAGGCUCUGGAGAAAAGAAUCCAAAUUGGGCCUUGACCAUACUGUGCUCGCACUAGUAAACCCAUUUCAGUAUGUACGAAUCUCCUUGCUAAUUUCCCGCGUACUUUCAUGGAUAUACAAACUUCCGAACUCCUCGAUUUUCCCCACGGAAAUUUCAAUGGCGGUGAAUGAAGCUUUAAUCAAGGACCUUCGCGCUUUAUUCCCGAAGAAACACUCCUCAUUUGGUUUUCCUGUUCUCUUCUUUUGUCUCCUUCAUUUUCUAGCCCUAAUUGUAUUCACCAUUCAUAUUAUCACUAUAUACACAAUCAUCAUUCAGAGGUGGAUUCAUAAUUUAAAAUUAAUAGGUGCACACACAUUUUAAUAUACAUACAUUUUUUUAUUCUAUUUCCUUAAUUUUGUUUAAGAAAUUUAGUGGCGGCUCAACGAAUUUAGUGGCCUAAAGCCAAAUUUUAAUAAGAAUCUAAAAUUUAUACACCUAUACAAAUAUAUGCAAAAACUUUGAUGUUGUCUUUUUUCCUUCUGUACUUAUUUAUAUAAUAGUAUUCAUACAAGAUAUAUGUCUUUUAGCUUCAUAUAGUAAUAUUAUUAUUAUUUAUAUUAUCAAGGGUUAAUUCAAGUUAAUAAGAUGUUAGCCAUAUCUUUGUCAUACAUUACCUUGGAUCUUGAUGUAAAAAACUUUAUUUGCUAAUAGGAAGAUUUGAAUAGUUUAUUUCGAAGUUGUACAAUAUUUCUUAUGUUAAAAAGUAAAUAUUCUUUGUUUUUUAAAAAUCUUUUUACACGUAUUUUAUACUUUUUUUUUAACAAAAUUCAAAAUUGUCUAAGUCAAAAUAUUAUUAUUUAUUUUACAAUUAACACUUUUUGGGGCCUCAAACUUUUUGGGGCGAAAGGCUUUGCUAGCCUCACCUUCAGCCACCCAUGUUUACAGAGAUAUUGAUUUUUGUGAAUCAUCUUCGGGAAUCCGAUAAUGAUAUCGGACUCCGCCAUGGAAGAUGACUAGAAUAUUCGAAACGCCGGCGUCUCACCUCCGCCAUUUCAAGCAAUCGCUGAAGACCAAAUCCUUAAUCUCCUCUUCAACCGACGAACCUCAAUUGAUCAACCGCUUAUGGCGCCACUAUAUUCUCGAUCCAAACAGCGACAUUGUCAAUCGCUGGAACUACGUGUUCCUCAUCACGUGUUUAAUCUCUCUUUUCAUCGAUCCUCUUUACUUUUACAUCCCUUACGUCAGCGAAAACGCUUGUAUGGCCACUGAUGACGAAGCGGCCACACAAAUUACCGUCUAUCGUUCUCUUACCGAUGUCUUUUAUUUCCUACAUAUUAUUAUGAAGUUUCGAACGGCUUUUGUGGCGCCCAGCUCGAGGGUUUUUGGCCGGGGUGAGCUUGUUAUGGAUGCCAAAGAAAUUGCGAUUCGGUACCUCAAGACUGAUUUAAUUGUUGAUUUUACUGCCGCGCUUCCCCUGCCUCAAGUGAGUAUUUAUAUUUUAUUUGACUUAGACACAAAAUUUAAUGCUAUAAUUUGACUUUAUUAAAAUAGUGAUUGUGGAAGAAAAUAGUGAAUUAAUGGUUAAAAUAUCAAUUGUAUGGGUAAACUUCACGUCAUGAUUAAAUCUGAAUAAGUUACUCCGUUCGUCCUAAUUUUUGCUUAUUGUAUAACAUGCACAGAGUUUAAGAAAGAAUUACUUCUGAAACUUGUCAUUUAAUACAAGUGAUAGACAUUUGUGUCGCGAUAGCAUGCCACAUAAAUUGGGAUAUAGGAAGUACCGAAUUUGAAUUUUUGAAAGUUGUAAUCAGAAUGUCUUUCAUAAAUUAUAAACGCAGCAAUGUUUCAGAUUUCUUGAGGAGCCAUCACAAUCUUAUCUUUUGAGGCAUGGACACAAUUAUUUGAUUUUCAAUUGGAAUAAUCACCAUGAACAUUCAAGUUUAGUACUGCUAUUAUUCUUCUUUUCAUUUUUUUCUCUUUACCUCUUGCAGAUCGUCAUUAAAUAUGUAAUACCCGCAGCUAAAAGAAAUGGAUCUGGUCACUCCAAAAGUACUCUUGCUCUUAUCGUUCUCAUCCAAUACGUGCCAAGGUUGUUCGUUAUUUUUCCGUUAAAUCAGCAGAUUAUCAAAACUACAGGUUUUAUUGCUAAAACAGCUUGGGCAGGAGCAGCUUACAAUCUCCUUCUUUUCAUGUUAGCCAGUCAUGUAAACACUCAUGCCCAUCUCUUUCAUUUUGGAAUUUGGUAUCAGAAGACACAAACUAGAAAUCACCUGACUUGCGAGUUGUGUGCGUUUUCUUCUGCUUCGUGUGCAGGUGGCAGGAGCUUCGUGGUAUGUGGCAUCUAUAGGAAGACAGUACUCUUGCUGGUCGAAUGAAUGUAAGAAGGAACGUGAUGCAGUUCCACCGUGCGUGCCUGAUUUCUUAGAUUGUACAAGUGAUACGGAUACAUAUGUACGUGAUUAUUGGCGAAACAGCACGCAAGUGCUUGUAAAAUGUGAUGCUAUAAAUGAUGAAGAUUCUGGUUUUAAGUUUGGAAUUUUCGCUAACGCCUUUACUAAUGAAGUGGCUUCAUCAACAUUCAUGGAGAAAUAUUUAUACUGUCUUUGGUGGGGUCUAAGAAAUUUGAGGUUUGCUUUCUUAAACUGCAAACUUACUUUUCUUCUUCCCUCCCUUUAUGUCUCUUUUGUCUUUUCCUCCUUAGUUUUGCAAUUCAAUGGUGUUGCUGACUAGAAUUGAAGGUUGGCUUAGUUUUGCAUAUUCAAUGGUAUUGAUGACUAGAAUUGAAGGUUAGCUUAGUUUUGCAUAUUCAAUGGUGUUGAUGAUUAGAAUUGAAGGUUAGCUUCGUUUUGCAUAUUCAAUGGUGUUCAUGAUUAUAACCGAAGCUUGGCUUAGUUUUGCAUAUUCAAUGGUCUUGCUGAUUAUAAUUGAAGGUUGGCUUAGUUUUGCAUAUUCAAUGGUGUCGGUGAUUAUAAUUGAAAGCUGGCUUAGUUUUGCAUAUUCAACGGUAGUGGUGAUUAUACUUGAAGGUUGGCUUAGUUUUGCAUAUUCAAUGGUGUUGGUGAUUAUAAUUGAAGGUUGGCUUAGUUUUGCAUAUUCAGUGGUUGUGGUGAUUAUACUUGAAGGUUGGCUUCUCAAAGUUGUUCCCCCUUUUGGCUUGGGUGUAACUUAAGAUGCAUAUUCUUAUUCUGAUAUAGUCCUUCCAUUUCAUUUAUGUGACAGUAUUUGACAAGUCAAGAAGUGAUUUAAGAAAGAAAGAAAAACUAUUUACACAUAUGCUAAAUAUAUGUAACAUACCAAAAAUAUACAACAACAACGACCCAGUAGAAUCUCACUAGUGAGGUAUGUGGAGGGUAGAGUGUACGCAGACCUUACCCCUACCCCAGAGGAUAGAGAGGCUGUUUCCGGGAGACCCUCGGCUCAGAGACAAUAGAUACAUAACAACAACAGAAACUAGAAAAAUAGUAUCAGCAUCGUAAAAGACAGCAAAUAAAUGAAAAGGCCAAAAUGUGAAAGACGGCAAAAAUAUGAAACACAACAAAAACCGCUAGCAGUCCUAGACAAAACACUAUCAGACUAGCCGGCACAACGAGGAGAAAAGCUCGACUACCCCCUAAGCUACAACCCUAAUGCUCGACCUCAAACAUACCAAAAAUAUCUUUAGAUUUUAUGGUCUUAGUGCCUUGUAAUUAAUUCCUAUAAUGGUAGAGUCAAAUUAAGGGUAAUAUGGGAGCAUUAGAAUUAAUGACUUCCAUAUAUCGAAAGGUGUCAAUCUUCUUGGAAUGGACUAAAUUGGAAAGAAUGUCAUAUAAAAUGGAACUCGAGGGAGUAUAUUUUUUCUGUUUAUCUGCUAUGUAGUACAGUUUAUACAAACUGAUUGUAUUUAUAAAAAUUAGUCCAACUUUUAAAGGACCCUUUGGCUUUAAGUCUGCAUCCUGAAUAUGCAAGUCACUCUGUCUGUUUGAUACCCAGUCUCUUCUGUUUGGCUAGUUCGUCAGGCAGCUCAGAGUUGAACUAUGAUUUCACAAAUAUUCCCCAUUGUCUAUCCCGGCUACUUAAUUUUGGCAAAAACUUCCAGUGCUAUUAAUCAUUGUAAAUUAUAAAGUAUGUUCCCUGCUACUCCAUAGAGAUCCUCUAGAGGCUUUGUCUUGGAUCUUGUUGACUACUCCGUAUUUUGUCAAUCACAAUGAAGGAUUCUACUCAUUUUUCAGAGCUGAUUUCAUGAAAAUGAAUUUCUUGUCUCCUUUGUUGCUUAGGAUACCAUCAAAUCUUUUCAGAUCUUUUUUCAGGUUAGAGAAUCUUAUUUUUGUCUUUACAAAUGUUGUCUUGCAGUUCAUAUGGGCAGAAUUUGAAUACUAGCACUUAUAUUGGCGAAACAUUAUUCAGCAUUUCCCUAUGCAUCAUUGGCUUAGUUCUCUUUGCACAGCUUAUUGGAAACAUGCAGGUAAAAUUUUGAUGAUAAUAUGUCAGAAUAGAUCAUUAUUAUCACCUUGUGCGGUUAGUUAGCUGAAGCAAUUUCAUCAUGGUUUAUGUACAUCAUUGAUUUCGAAUACAUGUUAUGUCAGUCACCUUAACGUUGUUCUGAUGAUUCACCUCUAGAACAAUGUUAAGCAUGAUAGGACUGUUGAAUAAGACAUUGUUAAUUUGUGAUAGUUGAUUUAUAUAAUUUCGUGUUAAUUGUCAGCAACAUGAAAUAUUUCACGGAGUUGGAAAUUUAGUUCUUUCAAGAGUCACAAUGUCUCAUUCGACAGUCCUAUCAUGCUUAAUAUUGUUCUAGAGGUGAUUUAUCACAACGUAAAGGUGACUGACAUAACUCCAAUUUUCCUAGUUCAAGUUAAUGUGUCUGCUAUGUGCCGUUACUCAAGAUCUGUUUCCUAAAAUUCUCAUAUAAUAAGCAGCUUAGGUUCAUCGGCAUUAGUAGUAUAGCCAGUAAUCAACAUUAAUUCUGAGUUGAAUUGGGUACAGUGAUAUCUAUUCUUAAAUAAUGCUUAGGUUUGUAGGUGAUUGGUAAGACUUGCUUAAAAUUUGAGCUAUCAUUUUUCAUUUGUUUCAUCUAGUAUAGUACAUGCUUCUUUGUCCUUGAUACACUUAUGAGUUUCUUUCCUUUCAGACUUAUCUGCAAUCUAUGACCGUAAAAAUUGAGGAAUGGAGAAUUAGAAAAAGAGAUAUAGAAGAAUGGAUGAGGCACCGACAGUUGCCUGAAGACUUGCAAGAACGUGUUCGCCGUUUUGAUCAAUGUAAAUGGCUUGCUACAAGAGGAGUUAAUGAAGAAGACAUCUUGCAAUCUUUGCCUUUGGAUCUUCGUCGUCAAAUCCAAAGACACCUAUGCCUUAAACUUGUUCGACGAGUAUGUCUUUCUUGCACUAUCAUAGAUCAUUUUUUUGCUAGACUCGUGCAUUAUAUUGGAGUAUCAUGACAAGUUGGCCAUGUCAUUACGAUCUUUAUAUAUAUGUCAUGGCCUGAUCAUCCGAUAUAUGGUGUUUGCGCUAUUUAACUUCUCUUGGCAUUGAAACACUUUCAGGAGGCAAACAUAAAGGAAAAGAGCUGUAGACAGAAAACCCCUGGCCACAAGUUAAACAAAUAGAAACGAAUUGAGCAAAAGAAAUGCAUUUGUACCAAUGAAUGCUACCUAUAAGAAACAUUACUAGUAUUAGUGAAUGAAUAAAGAAAAUAACUUUAUCUCUUUAAUCAUCAACUAAGCAUUGACAUGUGAUGUGCCUUACAUUUUGUAUUGCAUUCAGUCACUUACUUGUACUUGUGUUCCUACUCUGUAAGUACCUAAGCUAGCCGCUUCUGUUUGCUAAGCUUUAGAGAUCCCUAAAUCUCCUGUCCAUGCAGGUUCCAUUUUUUGCACAAAUGGACGAUCAGCUGCUUGAUGCAAUUUGCGAACGACUAGUCUCGUCCCUAAGCAUAAAGGGUACUUAUGUUGUUCGAGAAGGCGAUCCAGUUAAUGAGAUGUUCUUUAUCAUCAGGGGACAACUAGAGAGCUCCACGACAAAUGGGGGAAGAUCUGGAUUCUUCAAUUCUAUCACUCUUAGACCUGGUGAUUUCUGUGGUGAAGAAUUGCUGACAUGGGCCUUAGUUCCUAAUACAACGCAAUUGCCUUCUUCAACUCGAACUGUGAGAACACUUUCUGAAGUUGAAGCAUUUGCACUUCGAGCUGAAGACCUGAAAUUUUUCGCGGUUCAGUUUAAACGUCUUCACAGUAAGAAGCUACAACAUGCAUUCAGGUAUUAUUCUCAACAGUGGAGAACAUGGGGUGCUUGCUUAAUACAGGCGGCAUGGAGAAGGUAUAGGAAGAAAAAGAUGGAAACUGAAUUGGCUUUACAAGAGAGCUAUUAUUAUAAUCAAGAUCCUAACAACAAUAAUGAUCAAAAUUAUGAGGCUUUUGAAGAUGUUGGUCUUGAGCAACCAUUGGUAGGCAGUGCUCAUAAUUCCCAACAACUUGGAGCUACAAUUUUGGCUAAAAGAUUUGCUACUAAUACGAGAAGAGGAAUAGAACAGAAGAUUCAGAUGACUGAUUCUUCUUCCAGCUUAAAGAUGCCCAAGUUGUUUAAGCCAGAUGAGCCUGAUUUUUCUGCAGAAUGAAGCCAUUAAUUAAUUAGUUAGAACACCCAGCUUUACUGAAAGGUACUAGCUAGUGAGUAAUCAUAAAGCUAGUACACUUUUUAUUUGUAAAUUUCAGGAGCCAUAGGCCUUUGUCAAUUUUGACUACAAUAUUCCUUUUACAAUCAUGUUAAAUACAACCUUCUUCUGUACUUGCUUGUGCCUAAAUUUGUGACAGAUGAUAAACCUACAGAUAAUUAGGUGGUGAAAUUAGAUAAGUUUAUGUAAUUAUUUUAACAGAACAACUCCACUUCACCCAAAAAAUAGCUUCUUUUUUUCUUUUCAAAUAAAAAAUAAUUUCUCUUGUUUGGUUGGUGCAGAAAAAAAUGUACCACCAAAAAGUUGGUCUCUUUCUCUGCCAGGAAGGAGAAAGAAAAUGUUUAACCAUUUUCCUCCUCAUUAAUUUAAAAAAGCGCAGAAACUGAAAGAAUAUGAAAGGCAAAUAAAAAGAAGGAAAAAAUAAUAUACGUUAAAGAAGGAAAACGGAACAGAAAGAAGAACAAUCAUAUUUUUGAAUAUUACCACCAAUCAGCUACCCUUAAUUAGCAUUUGAGCUGGAAUAAAAAUAUUUCUGAUAUAAAGCACUUAUGUUGUAACUAGUCUUAGGCUACGCGCUUUGCGCGUGUACCUAUAUCAAUAAAUAUGUAAUUUUUAAAAAUUAUGUAAAUAUUAUUAAAUAAUGUAUUUGAGUUAAAUAUUAAAAAAUAUAAGUUCCUAAAAUUAAUGCAUGUUAAUUUUUACACGUUCAUAUUCUUCCAAAAAUGAAUAUGUAUUCGUAAAUAAGAUGUUUUCACAUACAACUACAUUGAUCUUAGUAAAAGGUGCUUUAGAUGCACGUGGUUCCAAGUUAAUGCCAGAUAAAAAGGAUUUCGGUUAUAGUUUUCCGUGCGAUGGCCCAGGACGAGGCGGUACUUGUGAUAUUUUGGCAUGUGACGCAUUUUAUUUGGCAGUUUUUUGGAUGUUAAAUACUAUUGGAUGGGUUACUUUUUAUUGACAUUGGAAGCACAUCACAUUAUGGCAGGGUAACGUUUCACAGUUUAAUGAAUCUUCCACUUAUUUGAUGGGCUGGUUAAGGGAUUAUUUAUGGUUAAACUCUUCACAACUUAUCAACGGAUAUAAUCCUUUUGGUAUGAAUAGUUUAUCGGUUUGGGCAUGGAUGUUCUUAUUUGGACAUCUUGUUUGGGCUACUGGAUUUAUGUUCUUAAUUUCUUGGCGUGGAUAUUGGCAGGAAUUGAUUGAAACUUUAGCAUGGGCUCAUGAACACACACCUUUGGCCAAUUUGAUGAUGAGCCAUCAUCUAUAUGUGCUUUAUAAAAUCUCAUGUCAAAUCGAUGACAAAUAUUACUUUCAUAGAGUGAAUGAUUACUUUGAGAAUACUUAUUGUAAGGAUUAUUUUGAGAAUCCUUAUUGUUCUCAUUACCACAAUAAUAACAAUUAUAAUUUUGUCUAUUGCCACGUCCACAUCCAUUGAUAUAUUCAAAGUAAUAAUUUUGUCUUCUUUCAGACUUAUCACAUAUUGCUAUCACAUUCCCUUAAGGGAAUGAGAAUGGAGCAAAUUCAAUGGGACGAGUUUUCAAUUCUUUGCCCACAAUCAUACAUGAAUUUGAUCAUGACAAGGCAUAGAAAUUUUACCACUUUGGGUGGUUAUAAUUUCUUUUAAACUCCAUUAGAGUUACAAUCAAAAUUUAUCGUCUUUACUUGUAUUUAAAAUCAAAUUAUAGAAUGUUAAGAAUUUGAAAGAGNNNNNNNNNNNNUCAAAUACUAUAAACAAAUAACACAUAAAAAAAUAAUUUUACCAUAAUUAUUUAAAGAUAACCAAAUAAAUUUUGAAUAUUUUGAUCAUUUAGAAAUUUGCGAGUGAUGAAGUAGAAGUAUAGCUCCUAGAAAAAUAUUGAUAAAUAACAAUAUAAAGUUUUAAAUAACCAAUAUUGAAUUAUAAAAAACAAUGUAGUACUACACUAAAAAUUAUAGAAAGCUAUCAUUUAAAGAAAAAUAAUAAUGAUAACUUCUUUUGAAUAGCUUUUAUCUUAUGUUACAUCCUUAAUGCUUCAAAUGUAGCAUUUUUAGUAAUUUAACUUUUAAUACUAUAUUAUAAUAAAUUUUUGCUCUAUCAUUCUUUUAUUUCUUUCAUGACUGAUGCUCUUUUUGUGAAUAAAUUUGUGUAUCUUAAAAGUUUUAUCAACUUGAUAAAUAAUUUUACUUACCUAAUGAUUUUGGAAAAAAAUGGAUUAAUUUUUUUUUACUAAUUUAUUAAUUCAAAGACUUGAUUAUUUGUUGAGAUUUCAUUCUUUUGUAAUUGUAUAGAAAAUACAAAUUAUUCUAAACUUUUUUUUCCUACUCGAACAAUAUAUUAUUCGUGUAAUAUUUAAAAACUACAUUUAGUAAUUAAAAUAUAUAUUUAUUUAGGUACAAAAAUCUCUUACUUUUAAUAGUACAUCUCGUUAGCAUUGUAAGUUCCCUACUAAGAAGCAUGAAUGUGAAACAUAUUUCCAUUGAAAUUUGUCAGAUAUACAAGGAAAAGAAAACGUUAAUAUUACUCCUAUUUUUCCAAAUAAUAUCUACGUUAAAGACCUUAAUACAAUAAAUUUUGUUCAGGGUUGAAAAGAAACUUACCUUUUACUUUUUAUAUUCUCUUCGUUUUUUCUUAAUAUAUUUUAUUCUUAUUUAGUUGAUUUCGAACUCCUAAAUAUUAGGUAAUGAUUAAAUUUUUACUUAAUUUUAAAGUGUUAAAUAUUAGGAAAGAAACUUAAAUUAUAUAUAUGUCUAAUGUGAAACUUAUUUUAAAAUGGUAAUAAAGGCGAACGACAUUUUUCUGAGGGCCUUCGUGUUUUUAAUAUAAUAUAAAUAUAGAUAAUAAAUUUUACGAUUCGUCAAAAAAAGAGAUAACAGCAUCUAUGCAAUUGGAUUACGUGUAACUAGUUUGACACAUAGACACUGCCUUACACUUUCAAUUGCCACAUCGCUCGUUUUGCAUGCGCGCGCAACGCAUUUUUCUCAGCGAAUUUUGCCUAUGCCCUAAUUUCUUAAACUGUGCUUAUCCCCUUCUACUUCUGAAUUCAUCAACAAAUUUUAAGUGAUCUCUUGCUGUCAGUUGCAUGCUAUGGCUACUCUACGGUUCUCUUCUCUGCUGGUUUCUUCCUUUCUUCCUGCUUUUCGCUCUUCAGGUAUAUACCUCUUUACCUUUGUUUAUGCACAAAGUAAUUUUUUUUUUAUUAGUAUUGCCUCCAUUUGAUUUCAGUAUCUAACUUAUCUACACUUUUAUGUGUUACGUAACCUAUUAUAGCAAUUAGCAAGUUGUCUGUUUUUUUAGGUGACAAACUUUAUUUAUUAAUUUGAAUAGUUACGUGUAGUUAUCUUUUAAAAUAUAUGAUAGUAUAAAAAUCAUGUUAUAGUGUGUAGAAGUUGUGUCGAGGGUCUAUCGGAAACAACCUCUCUACUCCUCACGAGGAGUAGGGGAAGGUCUGCGUACAUACUACCCUCCCUAGGCCCCACUCGUGGGAUCUCACUGGGCCGUUGUUGUUAUAGUGCGUAGAAGUUAAACUGUGGAUCUUAUGUGUCUUUGACCGAGCAAAGUUUAAGAAAGCAAAUUUUGAACAAUAAGUGAAAUAUGUAGUCCUAUAAUACACCCAAAGUACAUGUGGUCUUGCCAUGUCAAUUCCUGUUAGACUAUUUUCCUAUAGGGAUAAAACAGAAAUCUUAAGAUUAAAGAGUUUCUAGAUAUCCAAAGGAAUCAUUUUUUCAACUGAAAAUGGAACAAAGGAGUAGUCCAUUUCUAACCAAAAGAGUUGCUUUCACCUGGGUUUUUAGUGUCUUGAUGAUUAAACAAACUAAGUUUGACUUAAAUUCAUCUGCUUAUAUUCUCUUUUAUCUAUUCUGAUUUAUAGGUUUGAGAUUUCAAUCUAAAGGUAGAUACUUUGAGUACUCAAAAAAUGGUAUCAGAAGUUUUAGUAGCGCCGUGGUGCAUGAAGAGCCAAUCACUCCACCUGUUGAAGUUAAAUAUAAGCAGCUUCUAAUUAAUGGACAGUUUGUAGAUGCAGCCUCAGGUUGACCUUUCAUCUCUUAAAAUCUUUCAUUUCAAAUGUUCUUUUAAAGUUGCUUCAAGAGUAACAUGGAGAAUACUAUGUCUUCAGGAAAAAUGUUUCCUACAUAUGACCCUAGGACAGGGGAUGUCAUUACUAUGGUUGCGGAGGCCGACACUGAAGAUGUCAAUCGUGCAGUCUCUGCUGCUCGUAAAGCAUUUGAUGAAGGACCAUGGCCUAAAAUGUCUGCUUAUGUAAGGACACAUAUAGUAACUGGGCCUUCUUAUCUUUCUCGAUCCUCUUCCUUGCUCCCAACAGACAAAGGCGGAUUCAGUAUUUAAAUUUGAUGUGUUCAACCUUUAAGGUUCUUACUAUUUGACGCAUUGAGUUCUGAAAUUUUGGGCAAAAUUUUAUAUUUUCUAACAUUCUAGUAAAUUUUCAAAUAUCUAUCCAUGUUCUGUGUCGAAAAUGACGGGUUCAGUUACACCAAUCAAAUCUAUUGUCCAUCCACCUUUGCCAAUAGUUGCUGCUUGUUUAGAUGCCUUGUCUUACUUAAGUGUUAAUUUGUUAAAUGAAUAAUUUUUUUUCAGGAAAGAUCAUGUAUAAUGUUGCGUUUUGCUGAUUUUCUUGAGAAGCACGGUGAUGAACUUGCAGCACUUGAGACUUGGGACAAUGGAAAGCCUUACGAACAAGCUGCAAAUGAAGAAAUACCAAUGCUUAUACGUCUUUUCAGAUACUAUGCUGGUUAAGAAAAUUAAAAUGGCGUUAUAUUUUCUCUGUUUAUAGUAAAAUUCUGAUGUUUGCUGAAAUCACCCGUAUACUUUUCCAAGUUUUUCCAUGUACAUUCUUUUUCAGGUUGGGCUGAUAAGAUUCAUGGUCUUACAGCUCCUGCUGACAGUUUGCACCAUGUUCAGAUCUUGCAUGAGCCGACUGGUGUUGCAGGGCAGAUAAUACCCUGGAAUUUUCCUCUAUUAAUGUUUGCAUGGAAAGUUGGGCCCGCACUCGCUUGUGGCAAUACUGUUGUACUAAAACCUGCAGAACAGACCCCACUCUCUGCCCUCUAUGUGUCAAAGUUAUUCCACGAGGUAUGUACCUAGGAUAACUGUACAUUUGGUCUGCACUUGGUCUUGUCGUCACAGAACCUUUUAAGUUAUAAUUCUAAAGAAUGCGGAGUCGUAUUGUCAUUGUGUUUAUUGUGAUCUAUUUAUUUACAAAUUCAGCAGUUUCACAUCUAUAAUCGAAAACUUUCCCACAGUUGGUGCAGCUCAACGUGAAGAUAUUCUCCAUCCAUACAAGAUGAUAGCAUGUUUUUUGUGCUUCAAUGACAGGUUGGACUUCCCCCUGGAGUCUUGAAUGUCAUACCUGGCUUUGGUAGUGCAGGUGCUGCUCUUGCCAGUCAUAUGGAUGUCGAUAAGGUAUUUUAAGUUUUGGCUUUGUUCCUGAAAUUGCCUUAUGAGCCUAUAAUAUACUAAUGAAUGGACACACAACCUUGAUUAUAGCCUCUCGUUAGAGAGUUCAGUCCACAUGUAGGAUAAGUGAAGAGAAUUAUACUAUCUUUUUCUUCUAACUCAACAAAAAAAAAGGUUAUGCAUCCUGAUGUCCUUUCAGCUUUUGUAUUUCAUGCUCACUUUUGUUGAUAUUGUUGUGAUGUGUAAAGUUUUUUAAUGAAUAUUCGGGAAUAGGUGAGGGAGAAUGAAGAGAACUGACAUCUUCUUUUUUCUUCACUUUAAACAGCUUGGCCCUUGAUAUUACUUCUUGCAUAUUAUGGUGUCGUUUUUUCAGAAUUUUUUAUUUAUCUGUGAUGCCUAAAAUGCAAUGUAUCUCUACAUCACUCAUUUUUGUGUCUACAGCUUGCUUUUACAGGGUCCACAGAAACUGGUCAAGCAGUACUAAGUGCAGCUGCAAAGAGCAACCUAAAGCCAGUGACUUUGGAACUCGGAGGAAAAUCUCCUUUCAUCAUUUGUGAAGAUGCAGACAUUGAUAAAGCUGUUGAGUUGGCUCAUUCUGCGGUUUUCUUUAAUCAGGUAGCAGAGUUCCACCCUCGGAAAAUUGUGACUUCUGGUGCUUGCUCUGGAAAAAAUAAUUUUCAAAUAUUUGCAGGGACAAUGUUGCUGCGCUGGAUCACGGACUUUUGUACAUGAAAGAGUAUAUGAUGAAUUUGUAGAGAAAGCCAAGGCCCGUGCUUUAAAACGUGUAGUUGGCGACCCUUUCAAGAAGGGAGUUGAACAAGGUCCUCAGGUACCAUUCUUCCUGUAAUAAAAAAAUAGAAUGAUUUAAUAAACCCUCUUAAGGACAAGAGGAAUAAUAUAUCCUUACCAAUUUGGUAGUAGCCAACUUUUCAGGGAAAGAGUUUGCCACUGGUACCUUUGUUAUUUCCUUUUCAUCAUAUUACAUAUAAACUUAAAUAACGAAGUUUAAUAAUAAUCGUGAACUUUUAUUUGCAUUUCUGAAGUAGCUGUAACGCGGCCUUUUCUUGUAUGAAUAGAUUGAUACCGAGCAAUUUGAGAAGAUCCUUAAGUACAUAGAGUCUGGUAUUGAAAGCGGGGCUACUCUCGAGUCUGGAGGGGAAAAAUUGGGUUCCAAGGGCUUCUAUGUCCAACCUACUGUCUUCUCAAAUGUCCAGGUACAACUACCAUUGCCCAUAAGAUAUAUCCAUACAUAAAGUAAAAAGACGAAUAUGAUAGCGAUGGCAUCAAAUGGUUUAGUUUAAAAUUAUUUUUCAACCAUUUAGGACAACAUGCUGAUUGCCAAAGAUGAGAUAUUUGGACCAGUGCAGUCCCUCUUGAAAUUCAAGUAAGAGUACAUUUCAUCUUUACGUUUCCUAGCUGUUCUUUUAUUUCGUUUAUCAAUUCUGAACCUGACCUUGAAACAUUCAGGGAUCUUGAAGAGGUCAUUCGAAGGGCAAACUCGACACAUUAUGGUUUGGCGGCGGGUGUUUUUACCCAGAACAUAGACGUAGCCAAUACAAUAUCUCGAGCCCUUAGAGUAGGGACAGUGUGGGUUAACUGCUUUAACAUCUUUGAUGCUGCCAUUCCCUUUGGUGGGUAUAAGAUGAGUGGACACGGAAGAGAAAAGGGAGUUUACAGCCUCAAUAACUACUUGCAGGUCAAAGCUGUUGUUACCCCUCUGAAGAAUCCUGCAUGGAUGUAGUUUUCUUUAGAAGAAUUAACCUAAACAACCGCCCACCCAACCGCUUAAAUUAAAAAUAGCCGGCGGAUGUUGUAAAAUAUGUAUAAUCCAUGUACAACGUGUGUAUUAACCAUGUAAAAUUAGCGAAUAUAUAUAUAUAUCGGUUAGGAAAAGUAAACAGUGAAUUCAAUCUGCUAUUUGUGUAAAGUUCCUUUUCCUUUUCUGUUUUGUGGUGGCACUUUUGUAGAUAUUUUGCAACGUACAAUCUUUUUUAACGCCACUUGUAUUACUUUUUUGGAUAAGUUGCAACAUGCAAUCUUUGUUUUUGUAUUUUCUUUUGUAUGCUUAGGCUGACCUAAUACAACAUGCAAUCCUGUUUUCGUGAGAUCUUUUUAUACUUUUGUAGAUAAGAUGUGAAAUACAAUCUUGUUUUCUGUGAGAUCGUUUGCCUUUGUGCAACUGAUGAAUUUUCAUAUUUUCCUAACCAUCCAACAUGUUUGCCCUGGCUGGUAUAGCUAGUUCGUCUUCCAGCUUGUCAACAACUUUCUCAAUGAAGGGUCUAUUUUGCUUUGGUUCAAUGCAUGAAAUAGCUAACUCCAAUGUGAGCUGGAAAGCCUCUGUUGAGUAAUCUCCAUAAUGUUUUGGAUCAACAAAUUCCGUUGCCCGUUUUUCCCGCAUCAGCGAUUUUGCCUGAAAUGACAGGUAUUUAUCAACAUCCGGUUAUUUUGUUAUGAUUAAUUAAUGAUACAUUCAUGAAAAGGGAUAGUUGUUUACAAUUUUGUCCAAUGUUGUUGCUUGCUCCAUGUUCAUAUUGAUAGCUUUCCUCCCAGAGAGGAUCUGCAGUAGUACUACUCUCAAACUGUAUACAUCACCUGCUGAAUUUACACGAUGAUUCGUUUCAUAUUCAGGAUUGACAUAACCAAAAGUGCCUCUCACUUCUGAGAUCAUGUAGGAUUCACCAAUGUCUAUCACCUUGGACAGUCCGAAGUCAGAAAGCUUAGCUUCAAAAUUCUGUCCUAGGAGUAUGUUUGUAGGCUGUGGAUAUAAGGUGAGCAAGCGAACAAUGUCCAAAUUUAAGACCUUUAAAGCUAGCUAUUUACACUGACAGUUUAAACUAUUUCUACUAGGUUACUAAUUAAUGCUUAUCAUAGAGAUUUAUCUGUGAUUACCUUAUAAGUGACAUGAUUGUGUAAAUUCAACAGUAAAGGUCAGGUCCUAUAAAUAUAGAACAAAGUUAAUAGUUGUUAACCUGCUGUCCCCUCACCAAUGUAGUUUGAUUCAUUUAGAUUGUUUGUAGCAGACUAGACCUCCUCAAUGGAGACUUCCACACUAGAAUCUUUUGGCAUUGCCAAAUCUGUAGCUGCCAAUUAAUUUAUCUACCUUUUUAGUCUGUUAUACACAACAUGUUCAAAAGUUGCAAAAAUGAAAGAAAAGAAAGUGGCGGCUAUUUUUUAGGUAACCUGAUAGCGACUAUCUGGAGAGGUACAUUACCAAAUUUCUUAUUAGAUGCAUCUACUUGCCAAAUUCUUGUACUUGAUAGUAUACUUGUAAAUUUCUUAUCAAAUUCUAGUACUUGUAAGUGUUUGACCAAAAAGUGUUAAACAUUUUUGUUAAACUAAUUAAGUAAAUGAUAAUAGGUAAAUUCUAGUUAAAUAUAAUAAGUCCUAGAUCCAAGAUUGAUGGGUAGUAAUAACCUAGAAAUCACAUUCAAAGCUAUUAAAAACCAAAAGGAGAUUUAGUGAUAUUCUUGUGAAUAAAUGAGGGAAUGAGGACAAACAAUAAAUAUGAUGAAUGACAAUAGCUGUAAUAAAGAGAAUAAUUCACCCAAAUGUAUAACAAGGUGGAUGAUGUUGAAUAUGUCAAAACAUCCCACAUCGGUUGGGGAGAAAAUUGGGUGGGAAUUUCACCUAUAAAAAUAGGCCUAAUAUUUAAGAUUUAAACACACCUCUCAUUUGCCUUCUUAUCUUCUUAAGGCAUUUGUAUCUUCUCUCUUUAGUAUUAUUUCACUUGUAUUUUUGGAGUGGAAUAAAAUAUUGGUUGUGUCCGAGGAAAUAGGCAAAAUUGACCGAACCUCGUAAAUUCUGGUGUUCCUUUUAUUGUUGCUUUAUUGUCUUAUUUAUUAUUUGGUAGCUGUCAUAAUUUUUGGUAUAGUUGUUGUGACUCAUUCACACUAUAUAUAUUUGGCUUCCGCAACAGAUGAUUCCCCCUCUGACAAUGAUGUAAGAUAACCAAACGUGGGAAUAUGAAAUACUUUAUUGAACAACACAUCCAAUCCAAUCUUGUAUAAAGAUAAAGUCUGUAGUUAUGUGGGAGUCAACUUUUCUAGAGAGAACUUAUCAAGAUAGAAAAUUAGAUGUCUCCUCUUUCUCUCUCUAUUCCUACUUAUAUGUGACAUUCCUCUUACCUACUGAAAGUACAACUAUAGAGAAUAUUUUUCUAAAUAUUCUUUAGAAAUAUCUUGCUAAACUAGCUGUUUUGACCGAUCUGAGUCCUCGACCUCAACAUUCGUUGCUCGGCUCGCCAGUCAGGGGCGGAUGCACGCUUCCUCAAGCGGUGUCAUGCGACAUCGCUUUGUCGGAAAAUUUUACUAAAAAUAAGUAUUAAUACUGUACGGAAACGGAUAAGUAAGAAAAAAUGACAUCACUUGACAUAAAUUGUGCCUUGGUGUGUUGGUUUUAUGCUUGAUUUUGCUCUUAGAGGUCAAAGGUUCAAACCUCAACAUUUUUCUUUUGUAAAUAUUUGAGAGAGCCUUUGUAGUUAAAAAUUGUGAUGAAAUAGAAUUGGACUCAAAAUCUUUUUUAACUUAAGACUCAACAAAGCCAAUAAACUAAGGUUAUUUCUUGUCUAAAAGUAUGAUAAUCAAAGUAACAUUCCAGUUCUUCUAUAAAUUUUGACACCGCUUACAAAAAUUCCUGCAUACGCUCCUGUCGCCAGUGUUGUUUUUUAAGCAUCACCUCGGCCUAAUUGAUUCUUGAUUUCCCUAUUUCAGGCAAGGUCCCUUCGAUUAAAUCUUGACCCAUACACCAAGUGUUACCAAAACUGCAAACCUACAUAUGUCUGGUUCAACCUCCAUGUAUCCUCAUUUUCUGAGUUCAUUUCCUUUAUAUAUUUCCAGCUAUUUAUGUAGGACUCACAUGACUGACCCCCUUGGUCAAAUUGAAAGUUAUUAGUCAAACUUUCGAGUUUGUCUCCUAACUUCAUGUUAACAUCGGUAACAGAGAAAUCUGAGCAGCUGCCACCACCUCUUGUUAGUUUCUCAACCCCACAACUAUCCCAUUUCGGCAUUUCCUCCUUCAUUUAUCUUAGUCAAGCAGUUCGUCUGCUGAGUCGAAUUUAGGUACAAUUGCCCUGUUUCAUUUGCUCUGAUUCCCAUUACAUAAAUGUAGUCUCGGAACGGUUCUUCACAAUCAUCAUUCAAAUUUCUCUGUUGAUAUAUAAUAGCUGCGUUAUGUCAGCAAGAAAAGAAAAAAAACAGUGCUAAAUAUGGAGGUAAAAUUUAAGUCAUAUUUUAUUAAGAGAAAAAAGCCGUCAGCAUUUAAAUGCUGUGCCCGGGCCCAAGCGUUGGGUUGCAUGAGCUCCGAUAAUGAUUUUUUUUUAAACCAGCCGAUGAUAUGUUAACAUUGUGAAAUUUUUUGCUUGUUUUUGUUACUCUCUGUCUUUAUUUUAAAUUGUCAAUCUAGUUUAAACAUUAUAAAUAACUUUUGUAGUUUCAAUUUGUUAUUUUUUUGAUAUUAAAAUUUGUAAGGCUUAGAAAUUAUAAAAGGUAUAUUCUUAUACAUUAAUUUUCAUUACUACGAUAUUUUGGCAAACUUGUUUUUCCCCAGAUGGCUUUAUUUCUCUACUUUAUUACUCUCUUCAGUCCACAAUAAGUGAUCAAUUUGCAUUGGACACACCCAUUAAGGAAAUGCUCAAUUCUAGACGAAAAUAGUUAGUGUGACCAAACUAUCCUUCAUUAAAUGUUGCACCAUAGUUAUAGUAACACUUACUUCACUUCUCAAAUGUGAGGAGUAAAUAACUUUUUAAGGAUACGUACAUAAGAGUAAUUUCGGAAAAAUAAAUAAUUUUUUUUUAAUUAUACAAAUGAAAACUUAUUUUGGACCAAAAUAAAAAAAUAAAUUGGUCAUUUAUUGUGAACCGGAGGGAGUAGAAGCUAAGAAGGUUGUAUUAGUUUUGGUAAUAGGAAUAUCUUCUUUUAGAGUGUCUUUUUCCACAAGUUUGUCCAAUUGUGAUACAAUUAUAGUGUACCCAAUGUAUCGUAAUGUUCAAUGUUGCUUAUGCCAAUUUAUGGUAGCAGUGCGAAUCAUCUUUCAGGUGUACUUUAUUCUAAUAUCACUGGUGAGUGGCUCUUCUUUCUCCUCUCUACAUUUUCCAAAGAAAAAAUAAGGGCUCCUCUUUCUUCAUGCUAGGAGGCCUCAUUGUGGAAAAUAAAUUUGGAAAGGACUUACCAGUCAUUUCAUCUUAAUUAGCAUUCUAUCAGUGUCACUUAUGAUUUAAGGAUCCAUAAUUUUUGCACCACCUGAACCCAAUAAUUUACCUAGGUCAGAAGCCAGAAACUGAAAAUUCAAAUAAUUUUCAAAUUGAAAAAAAAAUUCUAAUAUUCACAUCUAAUCCAGUUUAAGCCAACUGUAGGUCAUACCGCAAGUUUAGAACUCAAGCCACAUUCAUCACUGGUAGAAGGCUAGACGUGCUUAUAAGAGCAUGUGCUCUCACACAAGGUAACAUUUUGACGAUGAAUUGACACAGAAUGUUUAGUUAAAGACCUCUAAUUAGACAUGCAAAGAAUGUAUAGUUUAUUAAUGCAUUUGUCAAUUAUUGGAAACUCAUUUUUAUUUUUAAUAAAUUAUUACAUGUAAAGCUGGUUAGUUGUAAUAUAUCCUUUUUUUUUUUUUUUACAUUUUUGGUUUAUUAUACUCUCUUCAAUGUAUUUGUUAGCUAUAGUAUACUACUUAUUUUAUUGAAUUUUUUGUGUUUUAUAGACUUUUUACAAUUAAACUUCCACAUAUUGUGUGUCAAACCCACGGAAAAAAUUAAGGAAGACUACAUAAACAUUAUUAUUAUUAUUCAUGUAAUAGGUUACAAAUGCAAUUGAAGAGAUAUGUGUGAAAAGUUUUAGGCGGGCUCCUUAUUCUAUGAUAACUUUUGAGAAUUUUCCAUUUUUCAUUUUCCAUAGUGAAAUAGUAAGUUUUGGUGGUACCAUUUCCCUUCAAAUUCACUUACGUAUACCUUAAAGUUUGUUACAGUAUCAAAAAAGGAUACUCCACAAGGAACGAAAACGGAAACAAAUUUCUAUAUAGGAAAAUCAUUUCUAACUUCUCUUCUCUUUUGUAAACUUAUAAAUACUGCUUUAAAGGUUUGAGUAUAUUUUUGUUCUUCUACUUUUUCAAAAGGUAAAACAAAUAUUUUCGUUACAUAGUAGAGCACUAUUUUUAACGCUGUUAAUUUAGGAAACCACAUAAAAAAUUCCCAGGAGAACGUUAAAUUUUGAAUCGGAUUUCCAUUAUUUGAUUUCAAAUAUUACCAAGUAUUCUACUGUGGAUCUGUAUGCUUAAUUGAAAACAAAAGUUGCACCAAAUCUAAAAGGAAAAAAAAUUGGGUGGGGUUGGAACGUGGGACCUAGAAACAAAAUUGGUCAGCAUAAAGUUAUUGGGUGAAGAAGCGUGCGGUGAUGGUUAAUGACAUAAGCCCAGGGGUAGUUUAGUCAAAGAGUUCACAAUUUUAUACAUAAGCUACAGUAAGAUUCUUUUUUAAGCAAUCAUAUUCUUCCAUUUUAACUAACAUGACCGGUUUACCCUUUCAAUCCCAAGCAAGCAUGUUGACCUGCUGCCUACUUAUUCUCCUUUAUUAAUAGAGAGAAAAAUGUAGGAAGGUUUCUAGCAGCUUAUACUACGUUGUCACUUUGAUUUUGCUCUAUUAGUUUUGUCUUUUAUCCAUUUGUAUUAGACAAAGAAACCAAUGACUAGAGCCCAGAGAGGUCAAAUACUAUUAGUAUGUGGCCAUGCUUCACGAUGUGAAAAUACUAAUACAAUUAGUUUACUUAUGAGGUAAUGAAUUUAACUUUUGAGAUAAUUAUACGUAAUAAUUUUUGACAAUACUACUAGUUAUCCAAAAGAUAACUAUAAAGUAAGUUUUAAUGAUAAGUGAAAUUAGUAUUCUCGAAAACAAGGCAUGUUACCAGCUAUAAUAUUAAAAACUAUUAGGAGUAAUUAUUUUAUAAUUUCUUACAAAUAUCAGCCUACGUAAGUCAAAUCUUUCAUGAAAAAAUCUUUCAUCUUUAUGUACGAAAUGAUAUAGAGUUUCCUUUUAAUGUAAGUGUUAGGAUCGGAACCUGGUUAGUGCGGAAUUUAGUUAAACAAUAUUAUAAUGACAAUAAUAAAAACAAUAUAAGUUGAUAAUAAUGAUAAUUAAAGCACAUAAAGAAGACACUAAUUUAACGUGUUCGGUCAGUGUGACCUACGUCCACAAGCGGAGAGGAACAAUUUCACUAUAGCAACAAGAAUACAAGAGAGAGUACAAAAUUAGAGUAACCAUACUCUAAUUAAUCCCUAAUACCCCAAGAGAAUAACCUCACAAGAUCACUCCAAAGAAAAGGUUCACACAAGUAUUUUCCAACACUCAACUCUCUUACAAAACUCUAUCAUAAAUGAAAGAAAAGGCAAGAGAUGAUUGUCUCAAACUUUGGUGUGUAUGAUAUGGACAUUUUCUAGCCUAUUUAUAAGAAAAUAAGAUGGUCAUUGUAUGGAAUAUGAUUGGCCACCAAUACCUUUAGUGAAUGGACAUAAAAUAUCCAACAAGUGACCAAUGAAAGACCAUAGAGAAGCCAACAAUGUUUAUAGUCUAUGGCCAAAAGUAGGCCACGUAUAUCACAUAUCUCCACCUUGGACCGGUUUUGGAUGAUAUAAUAAGAUUUCUUAUCCUUCUCCGCAAAAGCUUAGUGGGUGAAAUUAUUCUUCAUAAAUGCCAAGCAAGUUUAAGCAUGGCAACUGGAAGAGAUUUCGUGAAUAUGUCAGCAGGAUUAUCUUUAGUGUUGAUCUUCUGAACAGAGACUUUUCCUUCAGCUAUGGUUUCUUUGAUGAAGUGAUACUUGAUAUCAAUAUGCUUCGUCCUCUCAUGAUACAUAUGAUCUUUCGUCAAGUGAAUGACACUUUGACUAUCACAGAAAAUGGUAAUACCACCUUGGUGUGAGUUGAGUUCAGCAAAUAGACCCUUCAAUCACAAGGCUUCUUUGAUCGCCUCAGUCACUGACAUAUAUUCUGCUUUUGGUAAUAGAUAAAGCUACUACAUGUUGUAAUGUAGCUUUCCAACUGAUAACGCAACCAUCAAUACAAAAUACAUAGCUUGUUCAGUGAUCUUCUUUUGUCAAGAUCACAUGCAUAAUCUGAGUCUACAAAACCAACCAAAGUGUUAGUAUUUCUCCCAAAUUCCAAACAUGUGUUUGAAGUACCUUGCAAGUAUCUGAGAAUCCAUUUCACAGCCUGCCAAUGUGCUUUACUAGGGCAAGCCAUAUACCGGCUUACCACACUUACUGCUUGUGAAAUGUUUGGACGUAUACAAACCAUUGCAUACAUAAUACUGCCGACUGCACUGGAAUAAGAUACAUGUGCCAUAUACCUCUCUUCUUCUCUGACUGCGGGGACUGAGUAGCUGAUAACUUAAAAUGAGCAGUAAGAGGGGUACUAACUGGUUUAACAUCUUUCAUGCCAAACCUCUCCAAGACUUUUUCCAAGUACUUUUUCUGGGUCAGGAAUAGCGUGUUGGAUCCUCGAUCUCUUUUGAUCUCUAUGCCAAGGAUUUUCUUAGCUUCCCCCAAAUCUUUCAUCUCAAAUUCACUUUUCAAUUGACUUUUCAAAUUGUGAAUUUAUGUCAAAUCCUUAGCAACAAUGAGCAUGUCAUCAACAUAUAAUAAUAGUUACACAAAUGAACCAUCAUUUAACUUCCGGGAGUAAACACAACUAUCAUACAUGCUCCUCGAAUAAUCAUGACCAUACAUAAAGGAAUCAAACCUUUUAUUCUAUUGUCUUGGAGACUAUUUUAAUCUAUAUAAGGAUUUCUUCAACAAGCAAACAUGAUCGAUCUUCUUUUCCUUCAAUUUCAAAUCCUUCGGGUUUAUGCAUGUAUAUUUCUUCCUCAAGUUCGCCAUGUAAGAAAGUUGUCUUAAUAUCAAGAUGUACUAAUUCCAAAUCAUACAUGGCAACUAAGAUAAGCAAGACACGAAUAGAGCUAUGUUUAACGACAGGUGAGAAAAUAUCAUUAAAAUCAACUCCGUGUACCUGACUAUAGCCAUUUGCAACUAAGCGUACUUUAUACUUGACCAUCCUUUUUCUUGAAGACCCAUUUGCAACCAACAAUUCUUUUUCCUGAUGGCGGCUUUACAAGAGACCAAGUACCAUUCUUGUGGAGAGACUCAAUUUCUUCAUUCAUUGCAAUCAGCCACUUGGUUGAGUCUGCACCAGAAACUGCUUCUGAAUAUUUUGAUGGUUCUCCAAUUUCUUCAGUGUCCUGUUCAACUGAAAAAGCAAAUGCAACAUAAUCUCCAAAACUUAAUGGAUGUUUACUUUCUCUUCUUGGUCUCUGUUUGGCUAUAUAAUACUCCUCUUUUUUCGGUUCAACUUCAAGAGUCUCAACUUCAGGAAUUUCAGCUUCUGGCUCAACUUCAGGAGUUUCAACUGUUUUUUUCUCCAAAGUUGAUGAGCUUGGCUAAGAAGGAAUGCUAAUCUCAACCUCCACAUGCUUCUAUGUACUCUUUCCUUUAUCUGUAUUACAAGAACUAGAAGACUCUUUUCUAGAAUGUAACAUAGAGGAUUCAUCAAAGGUUACAUCUCUACUAAUUAUAAAUUUUGGUACCAUGGGAUAAUGAUACCAUAGUCGGUAUCCUUUUAACCCAGAUGCAUACCCAAGAAAAAUGCACUUUUUAGCCCUUGGCUUUAAGUUUCCAUCAUUCACAUGCAUGUAUGCAGGGCAACCAAAUAUCUUUAAAUCAGAAAAUUUGCAGAGUACCUGAACACAUCUCCUCUGGAGUCUUAAAGUUCAAUGGUGCAUAAGGAGCUUGAUUGACAAUAUAACAAGCUGUAGAGAUAGCUUCUGCCCAAAAGGCGUUUGUCAACCCAUCAUUUGAAAUCAUGCAACGAGCUCUUUCCAAAAGAGUUCUAUUCAUCCUUUCUGCCACAUCAUUUUGAUGAGGUGUCAUUCUCACAGUACGAUGUCGAGCAAUUUCUUCAUUCUUGCAAAAUUUGUUGAAUUCAUCAUUACAAAAUUCCAAACCAUUAUUUGUUCUAAGCCGCUUAAUCUAUUUUCCUGUUUGUUUCUCAAUCAAAACUUUCCAUUGUUUGAAAGUUAAGAAAACAUCANNCUGAAUGAAUGUAAUCCAAAGUAAAUUUUGUUCUAUGAAUCGCUGGAGAUUUGAAGCUGACUCUUUUCUGCUUUCCGAACAUACAAUGUUCACAUAACUCUAUAUUUUCAGUACUUUGGCCACACAAGAGACCUCUUUUGCUGAGGAUGGAAAGACCUUUUUCAUUCAUAUGUCCCAAUCGCAUAUGCCACAAUUUGGUGAUGUCAGAAUUUGAUUUAUUUGAUCUUGAAACUACAGCAACACCUAUAACAGUAGAUCCCAAUAAUGUAUACAACGUACCAGAUCUGCGUGCUUUCAUGACCACAAGAGCACCAUGAGAAACUUUCAGAACUCCACCUUCACCUGUGUACUUGCACCCAAGAGAUUCUAGAGUGCCCAAAGAGAUGAGUUUUUUUUCAAGUCAAGAACAUGUCUAACAUCGGUUAGAGUUCUCACCACACUGUCGUGCAUUUUGAUUCGGACUGUACCUUUUCCAAUAACUUUGUAGGCAACAUUGUUGCCUAUCAAGCUACUUCACAUUCAACAGAUUUUUAUGUGGUAAAUAAAUCCCGAUUGGGACACAUAUGAUAAGAACAAUCCGAAUUCAAAAUCCACUCAUUGUUAGAUUUGAAACUAUUAUUAGUUGCUAAAAAGUUAGCUCUCUUAGUCUCAUUAGCAGCUACACUUGCUUCGACAGUAUCAGUAUUUUUGUGCUCAUUUUCUUUUCUAUAUGCUUUUCUUUGUUUUUCAACUUAAAGCAUUAGAAAUAAUGUGGCCUUUCUUAUGACAGUAUUUGCACAUGACAUUUAUAUAUCUGAAUUUUGACCUUGAUUUAGGCCUCUCACUAUUUGAAUCUUUCUUAAUGGAUCUACCUCUUACAAACAAGCCUUCUCCUUGGUUCCCACUAGUUUCCCUAGUAAUAUCUCUAUCUAUUUGUUCUUUAUAUUUCAAAAUAGAUUUGAUAUCUUUAUAAGAUAUAUUAUUCUUUUUAUAAAGCAUAGUAUCUCUUAUAUGUUUAAACAACUGGGGUAAGGAAACAAGCAAUAACACAGUUUGAUCCUCAUCUUUGAUUUCGGCAUAUAUGUUACUCAAAUCCAUAAGAAGAGAAUCAAAAGUAUCGAGAUGUGUAAGUAUAAUGGUACCUUUAGCCAUACGAAAAGUGUAGAAUUUUUGCUUUAGGUAAAGCCUGUUUUCUACUGUCCUUUUCAUAUAUAGGGUUUUCAGUUUUUCCCGUAUGUCUUUGGCUAUGCUUUUUGCUACAACUUAACGCAAAAACUCAUUUGAGAGAUUUAAAAUAAUACCUGCUUUUGUCUUUUUGUCUACGGAAAAGGGUCUGAUAUAUUCCUCUACUAUUAAAAAUUAUUUAAAAUUGCCAUUCGUUAUACUAUUGGCUCAAGAAAAUCCCUAUCGUCUUACUAUUGAAGCACAUAUACUCCUAACUUGAUGGACUGGACACGUGGCACCCAUCCAAAGAUGUUGGUCAAUAUGGUCUAAAUUUAAAAGCGACCCGCCCCAUUACCCAUAACCCAGCUCUCUUGUUGGAACUCUACCCUCUUUUCAUUUUCCAUUUUUAAAAGCUGCAAAAGCGAAAAAUCUUUGGGGAAAAUGAGGACGGAAAGUAGUAAAGAAGAAGAAGAUUUUCCCUGUAUUGAAAGCAUGACUCCUCAAACCAAGAUCGACUCUCUUUACCAAUUCAAAACUGGAAAAUUACUCUCUCUAUCUCUCUCUGCCUUUUCUCUACUUUCUUUUUCAUUUUCAUUUUGUUUAAUUGCUGAGAAAAUAGGCGUGAUAGCAAAUUAAACCUCUCUUAUGUUGUGAGGUUCUUUUUUCUUUGAUUUCCAUCAAUAUUUUGAACCAUGUUUUUAACUUUUCAUCUGGGUAUUCGUUGUUUUCUUGGAGUUCUAAUUCAAAUUUGUUUAUUAGGUUUUCAUUAUUUCAAGUGCUAAAGGUAAAAGGUUGGUGCUUUGAUGAAACGUGAAAGUGUGUAUUCUUUUCUUAAAGUUGAUCUAUUUUCUAAGCUAAAUUUUUUAUUUUCGAGGUGUUAUAUUACUUUUGAAAAUCUUAUUCAGUUUGAUUUCAUGGGAUAUCCAUAUUUCCAGUAAAAAACCUAAUUUUGAUCGCUGAAGAGGAAUUGAACUAUUAUUUUGGGAGUUCAAAUUCAAUUAAACUAAAAGAAGGUUGGGUUAUGGAUACCGGAUAAUGGAUCGGGUCGCUUUUAAUUUAAGAUCGGAUGGACCAACAACUUUUGAUAGCUGCCAUGUGUCCAGUCCGUCAAGUUAGGAGCAUAUGUGUUUCAAUAGUAAGACGGUAAGAGUUCUUUUGAGCCAAUAGUAUAACGGAGGGUAAUUUUAAAUAACUUUUAAUAGUAGAGGGGGUAUAUAAGACCCUUCUCCGUUUUGUCUAUGACGACAAACUCCUCGUCCGUCAUUUUAUCCAGCUUGUUUUUAGUGUAGUGCCAAAUCUUAGCCAUCCUAAAGUAGGAUAGCUUCCAUCUUUGAUUGUUACAUUUCGAAGUUUGCACUUCGGUCAAAUUUUUCAACAUAGGUCUUUGCUAAAGUUAUUUUGGCUAUUGAAACUAACCUGGUUAGAUCCGGCUUUAAUAUCAAUUCGUUAGGACCGAAAAUCCGGAUAGUGCGAAAUUUAACCAAACAAUGUUAUGAUGACAAUAACAAAGACAAUUCGAGUUGAUAAUAAUGGUAGUUAAAGCAUAUAAAGAAGGUACCAAUUUAGCGUGGUUAGGUCAGUGUGACCUACGUCCAUAAGCGGAGAGGAACAAUUUCACUAUAAUAAUAAGAGUACAAAAGAGAGUACAAAAUUAAAGUAAAUACUCUAAUUAAUCCCAAAUAUCCUAAGAAAAUAACCUCACAAGAUCACUCCAAAAAAGGUUCACAAGUAUUUCCCAACACUCAACUCUCUUACAAAACUCUAUAAUGAAAUAAAGGAAAGGCAAGAGACGUUUGUCUCAAACUUUGGUGUGUAUGAUAUGAAUAUUUUCUAGCUUAUUUAUAAGAAAAUAAGAUGGUCAUUGUAUGGAAUAUGAUUGGCCAGCAAGGCCUUUAAUGAACAGACACAAAAUAUCCAACAAGUGACCAAUGAAAGACCAUAGAGAAGCCAACCAGGCUUAUGAUCUAUAGCCAAAAGUAGGCCACGUAUAUCACAGUAAGAUUUACUAAGCAUCCUUUAGAAUUUUCCAAUUAUUAUUUUAUUUUAACCGAAUAGUAGUGAGUAUAAUUGAUAAGAUACUAAGUGUGUGUUUGGUAUGCCAGAAAAUGUUUUCCGUGGAAAAUAUUUUCUUGGAAAACAAGUAGUAAUCUUACUCAUUUUUCAGUGUUUGGUAUGCAAAUUAAGGAAAAUAACUUCUCAAGAGUAUUCAUAAAUAAUUUAGAUACAAUAAACAUGAAGCCAUAAACUUUCGAACCAACAACCUUCCGAACCCACAAAUUUCAUAAACUUCCAAACCGCUAAACUUUCGAAACUGCGAACUUUCGAACCUGUAAACUUUAUAAUUUCUAGUUACCCGUAAACUUUCAAACACAUAAACCUUCAAACUCAUAAUUGUGGAACAAGUAAAAUUUCGAACCUGUAAAUCGAAAGAUGAAAAAAACAAAACCUUAAAAUAUAAAUAAAAAAUAUUCCGCCCCAGGGGUGCAGAAAUUUGAAAUAACAAAUUUUUUUUUGUGUGCGUGGUGGGGUGGGGGUGCGGAAAAACGAAAAAAUAAAAAUUUGAAAAUACAAAAAAAAGUAAAAAAAAAAAUAAUUUUUCUGCGGGGAGGGGGGUGGGCAGGGGCGAGGGAGUGCAGAAAAACGAAAAAAAUAGAAAAAAAAGUAAAAAAAAAUAUUUUUUAUUGCCGGGGGGGGGGGGAUAGCAGGGUGGGUGGUGACGGGAAAAAAAUUGAAAUUUGAAAAAAAAAGCUUUUUGGAGAGACGGGGCGGGAGAGGUUGGAUAGGGAGAGAAGGGGGCGGGUGUUGGGGUUAGAUGUGAGGGUAAGUGGAGUUUUUGAAAAAUAUUUUCGUAACUUUUUAUAGGGAAGUCAUUUUCCUCUAAUUUUAGGAAAAUGUGAUUUCUAGGAAAAUAUUUUUCAAACUAUUUUGUGCAACCAAACAGUGGAAAAUGGAAAAAUAUUUUUCGCAAAAUAUUUUCCGUCAUACCAAACACACCCUAAGGCCCAAAAAAAUAAUUGGAAGGUAGUUUGGUGUUCAGCGUCGUGGGGGAGUCAACCAUCUCCUAGGAUCUUUUCUUGUUUGUUCUUUUCUAAUGAGUAAUUUAUGAUGAAACGACUGACAAUAUUACGAAAACAAAUUUGAAUCACCCAAAUUCAUCAUUAUUCAUUUUGCUACUCUUUUCGAUUAAGCUCACAACUCAGUAUUGUAUGGGUUAAAAUUAGGUCUAGUUUAGCGAAUGCAGACGGACAAGCUGAGGCCGAGGUCGAAACCAAGCACGGACCAGUGGCGAGGAGUUGCUCAAAGGGAGAGACCAGUGCCGAGGUCGAGUAGAGAGCAAACGACUGCAACUAUUAGAAUACUCUUGUGAUGACCCAAAUGGUCAUCUUAAGUUUUAGAACUCGAUUUCAUGUUCCGAGGCCUUCAAAACCUUAUUUUAUUCCUCCUCUAUUUACGUGUCAGUCUGGGCAUAUUUCCGGAAAGCCUUUAUGUGGAAAAUUGAUGAAAUAAUAAUUUUUGGCCUAAAAAGUUGAUUUUUGUUGACUUCGGUCAAUGUUUUGAGUAAACAGAACCAGACCCGUAUUUUGACGGUCCCGAUGGGUCCGUAAUAAAAUAUGGGACAUGGGCGUAUGCCCGAAAUCGAAUUCUGAGGUCUCUAGCCUGAGAAAUGAAUUUUUGAUGAAAAUUGUAAGACUAAAAGUAUAAUGGUUUAAAGAAUUUUGGUGAUAUUUGAUCUAGUUAGUAUCAGAUCUGUAUUUUGGUUCCGGAGCCCGGUACAGGUACGUUAUGAUAUUUAUAUCCUAUCUGUGAAAUUUGGUGAGAAACGAGACUGAUUUGACGUAACUCGGACCUUCGGUUGAGAAAAUAGAAGUUUUAAAACUUUUUUGAAACUUUCAUGCAAUUUGGUGCUAAAUUCGUACUUCUAGGAGUUAUUCUGGCGAUUUGAUUGCAGGACAAGUUUGUAUGAUAUUUUAAGACUUGUGUGCAUGUUUGGUUUGGAGCCCCGAGGGCUCGGGUGAGUUUCGGAUAGGCUACCGAGUGAUUUGAACUUAGGAAAUUUUGCUAGUAUGCUUUAGAUCUGUAGACUUCGCAUUUGCGAAGUUUGGCUCGCAAAUGCGAUUAAGAAAGUUCGCAUUUGCGAGCAAUGAGGCUGGGAGGGAACCUUCGCAAUUGUGAAGCUCAAGAUCGCAAUUGCGAUCAAUAUUGGCCGCAUUUGCGAACAAUUGUUCGCAUUUGCGAUAUUAGCAGGUCCAGGUCGGUCUUCGCAUUUGCGAGGCAAAGUUUGCAUUUGCAGGGUUCGCAUUUGCAGACCCCUGAUUGCAAAUGCGAUACCUGCAAUGGGUCAAAUAUGAUUUUGGACGGGAUUUUUCAUCCAUUCUCCAAUUUUUCAAAACCUAAAACACAAGAGGUAAUUUUUCAAACACUUUCUUCCCCAAAUCAUAAGUAAGUGAUUGUUAACUAGUUUCUUUCAAUCUUUUACCUCUUUUUACAAGAUUUUAACCUAGAAUCUAAGGUUUUCAUGGCGGAAUUGGGGAUUUCUGGGUAGAAAUUAGAAAUUUUGAAAUUUGGGGAUUGAGACCUCAAAUUGAGGUCGGAUUCCAAUACUAAUUAUGUAUUCGGGCUCGGGAGUGAAUGUGUAAAUGAGUUUUGGUCCAAACCUCGUGUUUUGACCAAGCAGGCCCGGGUCAUUGUUUUGACUUUUUGGGGGAAAUAUUGGGAAAUUUAUAAUUAUGCAUUUGAAUUGAUUUCUUUAGCGACACUUUAUGUUAUUAAGUUAAUUAUGAAUAGAUACGAGUGAUUCAGAGGUGAAAACAAGAGGAAAAAUGAUAAUUGAGCUUUGAGUUGGCCGUUGGAUUGAGGUAAAUAUUUUGUCUAACUUUGACUCGAGGGAUUAGGGAUCCCCGACUUAAUUGCUAUGUGAAAUUUAAUGUGUGUGGUGUAUAGGUGAGGUGAUGAAUACCUAUGCACUGCCUUAUCUAUUUUGACUGUUCCCUUCCCAUUCUUAAUAUAUUGUUCCCUACUGCUACCAGUUUUACUGAUAUUUUCAUGAUUAGUUGCUACUUGUUGGAUAUUAUUUUCGUUGUUAAAAGUAUUGGAUAUUACGUGGUUUCAUUGAUUCAUUUUAUUGGUUUAAGCUGGCUAUCAGUGUUUAUUAGUAUACUUUGGAUUGGUUUCGAUGAGUAGUAUAAUUCGAGUGAAGUUUCAUAAUUUUACCGCUUUCCGUUUGUUUUAGUUGAGGUCGAAUACCAUGGGGAGUUUUGAGCCAAAUUGUGAAAUUUCUGUUCUUAUUGUGUGAUUGGUAUUGAUAUGGUAGGAUCGGGUUGCACGCCGCAAAAGGAUGAAUAUGGGUGAUAUAUUGAGGAGGAAUAAGGGUGAAAUGUUAUUAUAUGGUGGGAUCGGGUUGUGCGCCGCAACAGGAGGAAUAAUGGUGAUAUAUUGAGGAGUAAUAAGGGUGAAUUGCUAUUGUACGGUGGAAUCGGGUUGCACGCUGCAACAGGAGGAAUAAGGGUGGAGUGAUAUGGAGUAAUAAGGGUGAAUGUUCAUAUUGUUACUGAUUAUAUGGUGGGAUCGGGAUGGGCGCCUCAUCAGUUUAUUAUUUAUGUAUCCUUCCUCUACUGUGAAGUUAUUCUGUAGUUUUGUAGUUCACUUAAUAGUUGGUUAUAACUGGGUACUAACAAGAUAUUUGAGUUUUGUAUUCAUUUUUUUGUUGCAAGUUACCAUUUCAUUUUGUCCCGUACUUCUUUUCGCUUUAUUACAUACUAUAUGCAGAUUAUAUUGUAAUUGCCCCGCCGUAGCCUCGUCACUGCCUCGUCGAGGUUAGGCUCGGCACUUACUAGUACAUGGGGUCGGUUGUACUGAUAUUGCACUCUGCACUUUCAGUGCAAAUUUUAGAGCAGGCAGUGAUUGAUUGAGAGAUUGGUUGCAGGUUCACAGUUUUGAGACCUAAGUAGUCAUGUUGGCAUCCGCAGGCCCUGGCGUCACCUUCUACAUUUCUACAUUUCUAUUUUUCUUUCGUUUCAAAAUAGAUAUAAUUUCUUUCAGACCGAUAUUUGUAGUAAUUCAUAGUAUGUUCGUGGAUUGUGACACCAGAUUCUGGGUAGUAGUAGUAGUAAUAGCUAUGGUACUAUUAAUAGUAUAUAGACAAAAGGUUAUUUACGUAGUUCCGCAUUUACUUCUACUUGAUUUAGUUUGUUAAAUUUUAAUCUAUGAUAUGUAAAGGAAAAAUGUUAAUAGAACUCUAACGUUAGCCUGCCUAGCGAGUACGAUGUUGGGCUCCAUCACGGUCCCGAUGGUGGAAAUUCCGGGUUGUGACAAGUUGGUAUCUGAGCACUAGGUUGCCUAGGUCUCACAAUUCAUGUACAAACUUAGUAGAGUCUGAGGUAUCAGUACGGAGACGUCUGUGCUUAUCCACCAGAAGCUACAGAGUUUAGGACCAAUUUCACUUCUAUUCUUCUCUGUCGUGCAAUUUGAUCUCUCAAUGCUAAUUGAACUCUUUACUCUUGUUCCUUCGCAGAUGGCGAGAACACGUACCACUUCUUCAGUUGAGCAGCAGUUAGAGACCCUAGUGGCAGCUCCUACGAGAGGCCGAGGCCGUGCUAGAGGCUAAGGCAGGGGCAGGGCUCAGCCAAGAGCUCGAGCAGCAGCACCAGCGGUGGAGCCUCAGGUAAAGUUUGAUGAAGAGGUUCCAGCCCAGAACAUUCCAGCAGGCUAGCUCAGGUUCUAGAGGGGUUCAUCGCUACCCCGGUACUUCAGGAUGCUUUGGUUAGUCUAGUGGGCCUUAUAGAGAGUGUUGCUCAGGCCAACACAUUUCCUAUAGCACCAACCGUCUCUUAGGCUGGGGGAGGAGCCUAGACUCCUGCUACUCACACUCCGAACUAGAUGGCUCCCCAGUUUCAGACUCCAGCAGCUCAGCCAGUUGGGCUAGUUCCGCUGGGUGCUGUAGCAUAGACCGACGAUGGAUUAGCUAAGUCUUAUGAGGAUUUAUGGAGAUUGGAUAGGUUUACCAUGCUUUUUACCACUCACUAUAGCAGUACAUCUUCAGAGGAUACCCACGACUAUCUAGACAGUUGUCACGAGGUAUUACGAAACAUGGGGAUAGUGGAGACCAAUAGGGUCGACUUUGUUGCCUUUCAUCUGUCAGGUUCCGCCAAUAAAUGGUGAAGGGAUUUUUGUUUGGCCAUACCAGUUGGGUCGCCGGCUCUUACUUGGGACCAGUUCUCUCAGAUAUUUCUGGAGAAGUAUCUUCCUAUCACUCAGAAAGAGGACUAUCGAAGGUAGUUCGAGCGCUUUCAGCAGGUUUCUAUGACUGUCACUCUAUACAAGAGUAGAUUUGUUGUUUUUGCCCGUCAUGCUCUUCUUAUACUUCCUACCGAGAGAGAGAGAGGGUGAGGAGGUUUAUUGAGGGACUUGCUCAGCCUAUCAGAUUGUAGAUGGAUAAGGAGACAGGGAGUGAGAUUUCUUUCUAGGAUGCAACCAAUGUGGCCAGAGGAGUUGAGAUAGUUCUAGCUCAGGGAAGUGGUCAGGGGUCUGACAAGAGGCCGCGUCACUUCGGUGGAUUCAGUGGGGAUUCAUUUGGAGGUCGAGGUACUUUUCGUAACGACCAUUCUCCUAGGUCGUUUCAUUCAGCACUUCAGACAUCCUAUGGAGCUUCAGGGAGUCGUGGUCCUUAUGCACCUCCUUCAGGGAAGCCAACUUAUAGUGCACUACCAACUCCUAUCAGAGCACCUCCUCUUCAAAGUUAUUAUCGUGGUUAGUUGGCCCAUCAGGGUCAGUCUCAGUUUCCACAACCGCAAUAUCAGGAUAGAUGUUUCGAGUGUGGUGAGUAUGGGCAUAUCCGAAGGACCUGUCUGAGAUUAAUGGGUGUUCAGUCACAGCAGUAGGGUUCUUGUGCCAUGAUUCUGGCACCGCCCACUCAGCCAACUAGUGAUAGGGUUCAGGGAGCCAAAUAUAGGGGUUAGGCCAUUAGAGGUGGAGGUCAGCCAGUGGGAGGCCGUCCCAGGGAUAUGGUUCAGAGUGGUGGGGCCCAUCCCUGAUGUUAUGCUUUCCUAGCUAGGCUUGAGGCUGAGUCAUCCGAUGUUGUUAUCACAGGUACUGUUUCAGUUUGUAGUAAAAAUGCUUUAGUUCUAUUUGAUCCAGGGUCUACAUACUCCUAUGUGUCAUCUUACUUUGCUUCAUAUUUAGUUGUGCCUCGCAAUUCUUUGAGUGCUACCAUGUAUGUGUCUAUACCGGUGGAGGAUUCUAUUAUUGUAGACCGUGUCAUUCGUAUAUGGUUAUUAUUAGGGGUCUCGAGACUAGCGUAGAUCUCCUACUUCUUGAUAUGGUCGAUUUUGAUGUCAUUUUGAGGAUGGAUUGGUCGUCACCUUAUCAUGAUCUAUUGGACUAUCAUGCCAAGACAAUGACCUUAGCCUUGCCGGGGUUGCCUCAAUUAGAGUGGAGAGGGACUCCUGGUCAUUCUAAGAGAAGGCUUAUCUCUUAUAUGAAGGCUCGACAUAUGGUUGAGAAGGGGUGUUUGGCUUAUGUUCGUGAUUCUAGUACAGAAGUUCCUUCCAUGGAUUCUAUACCAGUGGUUCCGGAGUUUCCAGAGGUAUUUCCUGCAGACCUGCCGAGGAUGCCACCCGACAGGGAUAUUGACUUCUGUAUUGAUUUUGUUCCGGGCACUCAACCCAUUUUUAUUCCGCCAUACCAUAUGGCCCUGCCUGAGUUGAAAUAAUUGAAGGAGUAGCUGCAAGAUUUGCUUGAUAAGGGAUUUAUUAGACCUAGUAUCUCGCCUUGGGGUGCGCCGGUGUUGUUUGUAAAGAAGAAGGAUGGAUUGAUAAGGAUAUGCAUAAACUAUCGGUAUAUGAACAAAGUCACCAUCAAGAACAAGUAUCCAUUGUCGAGGAUUGAUGACUUAUUUGAUCAGCUUCAGGGUGCCAAGGUAUUUUCGAAGAUCGAUUUGAGGUCUGGCUACCAUCAAUUGAGGAUUAGGGCAUCUAAUGUCCCUAAGCUGUNNNNNNNNNNNNNNNNNNNNNNNNNNNNNNNNNNNNNNNNNNNNNNNNNNNNNNNNNNNNNNNNNNNNNNNNNNNNNNNNNNNNNNNNNNNNNNNNNNNNNNNNNNNNNNNNNNNNNNNNNNNNNNNNNNNNNNNNNNNNNNNNNNNNNNNNNNNNNNNNNNNNNNNNNNNNNNNNNNNNNNNNNNNNNNNNNNNNNNNNNNNNNNNNNNNNNNNNNNNNNNNNNNNNNNNNNNNNNNNNNNNNNNNNNNNNNNNNNNNNNNNNNNNNNNNNNNNNNNNNNNNNNNNNNNNNNNNNNNNNNNNNNNNNNNNNNNNNNNNNNNNNNNNNNNNNNNNNNNNNNNNNNNNNNNNNNNNNNNNNNNNNNNNNNNNNNNNNNNNNNNNNNNNNNNNNNNNNNNNNNNNNNNNNNNNNNNNNNNNNNNNNNNNNNNNNNNNNNNNNNNNNNNNNNNNNNNNNNNNNNNNNNNNNNNNNNNNNNNNNNNNNNNNNNNNNNNNNNNNNNNNNNNNNNNNNNNNNNNNNNNNNNNNNNNNNNNNNNNNNNNNNNNNNNNNNNNNNNNNNNNNNNNNNNNNNNNNNNNNNNNNNNNNNNNNNNNNNNNNNNNNNNNNNNNNNNNNNNNNNNNNNNNNNNNNNNNNNNNNNNNNNNNNNNNNNNNNNNNNNNNNNNNNNNNNNNNNNNNNNNNNNNNNNNNNNNNNNNNNNNNNNNNNNNNNNNNNNNNNNNNNNNNNNNNNNNNNNNNNNNNNNNNNNNNNNNNNNNNNNNNNNNNNNNNNNNNNNNNNNNNNNNNNNNNNNNNNNNNNNNNNNNNNNNNNNNNNNNNNNNNNNNNNNNNNNNNNNNNNNNNNNNNNNNNNNNNNNNNNNNNNNNNNNNNNNNNNNNNNNNNNNNNNNNNNNNNNNNNNNNNNNNNNNNNNNNNNNNNNNNNNNNNNNNNNNNNNNNNNNNNNNNNNNNNNNNNNNNNNNNNNNNNNNNNNNNNNNNNNNNNNNNNNNNNNNNNNNNNNNNNNNNNNNNNNNNNNNNNNNNNNNNNNNNNNNNNNNNNNNNNNNNNNNNNNNNNNNNNNNNNNNNNNNNNNNNNNNNNNNNNNNNNNNNNNNNNNNNNNNNNNNNNNNNNNNNNNNNNNNNNNNNNNNNNNNNNNNNNNNNNNNNNNNNNNNNNNNNNNNNNNNNNNNNNNNNNNNNNNNNNNNNNNNNNNNNNNNNNNNNNNNNNNNNNNNNNNNNNNNNNNNNNNNNNNNNNNNNNNNNNNNNNNNNNNNNNNNNNNNNNNNNNNNNNNNNNNNNNNNNNNNNNNNNNNNNNNNNNNNNNNNNNNNNNNNNNNNNNNNNNNNNNNNNNNNNNNNNNNNNNNNNNNNNNNNNNNNNNNNNNNNNNNNNNNNNNNNNNNNNNNNNNNNNNNNNNNNNNNNNNNNNNNNNNNNNNNNNNNNNNNNNNNNNNNNNNNNNNNNNNNNNNNNNNNNNNNNNNNNNNNNNNNNNNNNNNNNNNNNNNNNNNNNNNNNNNNNNNNNNNNNNNNNNNNNNNNNNNNNNNNNNNNNNNNNNNNNNNNNNNNNNNNNNNNNNNNNNNNNNNNNNNNNNNNNNNNNNNNNNNNNNNNNNNNNNNNNNNNNNNNNNNNNNNNNNNNNNNNNNNNNNNNNNNNNNNNNNNNNNNNNNNNNNNNNNNNNNNNNNNNNNNNNNNNNNNNNNNNNNNNNNNNNNNNNNNNNNNNNNNNNNNNNNNNNNNNNNNNNNNNNNNNNNNNNNNNNNNNNNNNNNNNNNNNNNNNNNNNNNNNNNNNNNNNNNNNNNNNNNNNNNNNNNNNNNNNNNNNNNNNNNNNNNNNAGAGAGAGAGAGAGUGGUUCUUCGGGUAUCACCCAUGAAGGGUGUGAUACGGUUUGGGAAGAAGGGUAAGUUAAGCCCUAGGUAUAUCGGGCCUUUUAAGAUCCUUGAGCGAGUGAGAGAUGUGGCCUACAGACUUGCAUUGCCACCAGGUUUAUCAACAGUACAUCCAGUGUUUCAUGUGUCCAUGCUUUGAAAGUAUCACGACGAUCCAUCCCAUGUGUUAUAUUUCAGCACUGUCCAGUUGGAGAAGGAUUUGACCUACGAGGAGAAGCUAGUAGCCAUUUUAGACCGGCAGGUUCGUCAGUCGAGAUCGAAGAGUUAGCCUUUGGUUCGAGUGCAGCAGAGAGUUCAACCAGUUAAGGCAGCACCUUGGGAGUCCGAGUCUGAUAUUCGGAGCAAAUAUCCCCACCAUUUCACCGAUUCAGGUACUUUUCUAUGGUCGUUCGAGGAUGAACAGUUGUUUUAGAGGUAGAGAAUGUGAUGACCCAAAAGGUCAUCUUAAGUUUUAGAACUCGAUUUCAUGUUCCGAGGCCUUCAAAAACUUAUUUUAUUCCUCCUCGAUUUGUGUGCAUAGUCCAGUUGUGUUUUCGGAAAGCCUUUAUGUGGAAAAUUGAUGAAAUAAUAAUUUUUGGAAUAAAAAGUUGAUUUUAGUUGACUUCGGUCAGCGUUUUGAGUAAACAGACCUGGACCCGUGUUUUGACGGUCCCGGUGGAUCCGUAGUAAAAUAUGGGACCUAGAUAUGCCCCGAAUUGAAUUCCGAGGUCCCUAGCCCGAGAAAUGAAUUUUUGAUGAAACUUAUAAGACUGAAAUUAUAAUGGUUUAAAGAAUUUUGGUGAUGUUUGAUUUGGUUAGUAUUGGGUCCGUAUUUUGGUUUCGGAGUCCGAUACAAGUCCGUUAUGAUAUUGAUAUCCUAUUUGUGAAAUUUGGUGAGAAACGGGACUGAUUUGACGUGAUUCAGACAUUCGGUUGAGAAAAUAGAAGUUUUAAAAUGUUCUUGAAAAUCUCAUGCAAUUUGGUGCUAAAUUCGUGGUUCUAGGUGUUAUUCUGGCAAUUUGAUCACACGAGUAAGUUUGUAUGAUAUUUUAAGACUUGUGUGCAUGUUUGGUUUGAAGCCCCGAGGGCUCAGGUGAGUUUCGGAUAGGCUACGGGGUGAUUUGAACUUACGAAUUUUUGUUGGUAUGCUUCAGGUCUAUUGACUUCGUAUUUGUGAAGUCUGGCUCACAAAUGCAAGCAUCGCAUUUGCGAAGAAAGUUUGCAUUUGCGAGCAAUGGGGCUGGGAGGGGACCUUUGCAAUUGCGAAGCUCAGGAUCGCAAUUGCGAUCAGUAUUGGCCGCAUUUGCGAACAAUUGUUCGCAUUUGCGAUGUUAGCAGGUCCAGGUCGGUCUUCGCAUUUGCGAGGCAAAGUUUACGUUUGCGAGGUUCGCAUUUGCGGACCCCUGAUCACAAAUUGAUACCUGCAACUGGUCAAAAAUGAUUUUGGAUGGGAUUUUUAAUCUAUUCUCCGAUUUUUCAAAACCUAAAACACAAGAGGCGAUUUUCAAAAUACUUUUUCUUCCCCAAAUCAUAAGCAAGUGAUUCUUAAGUAGUUUCUUUCAAUCUUUUACCUCUUUUUACAAUAUUUGAACCUAGAAUCUAAGGUUUUCAUGGUGGAAUUGGGGAUUUUUGGGUAGAAAUUAGGAAUUUUGAAAUUUGGGGAUUUAGACCUCAAAUUGAAGUCGGAUUCCAAAACUAAUUACAUAUUCGGGCUCGGGGGUGAAUGGGUUUUGGUCCGAACCUUGAGUUUUGACCAAGCGGGCCCAGGGUUUUUUUGACUUUUGGGGGGAAAUAUUGGGAAACAUAUAAUUAUGUAUUGAAAUUGAUUCCUUUAGCGACAAUUGAUGUUAUUAAGUUAAUUAUGAAUAGAUACGAGUGGUUCGGAGGUGGAAACUAGAGGAAAAACGGUAAUUGAGCUUUGUGUUAGCUGUUGGAUUGAGGUAAGUAUUUUGUCUAACUUCAACUCGAUGGAUUAGGGAUCCCCAACUUAAUUGCUAUGUGAAAAUCCAUGUGUGUGGCGUAUAGGUGAGGUGACGAAUACCUAUAUGCCCCCAAUUUAUCUGUUUUGACUGUUCCCUUCCCGUUCUUAAUAUAUUGUUCUCUGCCUUAACUACUACCUAUUUAACUGAUAUUUUCAUGAUUAGUUACUACUUGUCGGAUAUUGUUUUCGUUGUUAAAAGUAUUGGAUAUUACGUGGUUUCAUUGAUUCAUUUUAUUGGUUUAAGAUGGCUAUCAGUGUUUAUUAGUAUACUUUGAAUUGGUUUCACUGAGUAGUAUAAUUCAAGUGAAGUCUCAUAAUUUUACCGCUUUCCGUUUGUUUCAGUUGAGGUCGAAUACCAUGGGGAGUUUUGAGCCAAAUUGUGAAAUUUCUGUUCUUAUUGUGGGAUUGGUACUGAUAUAGUGGAAUCGGGUUGCAUGCCGCAAUAGGAGGAAUAAGGGUGAUAUAUUGAGGAGGAAUAAGGGUGAAAUGUUAUUAUAUGGUGGGAUCGGGUUGCACGCUGCAACAGGAGGAAUAAGGGUGGAUUUAUAUGAAUUAAUAAGGAUGAAUGUUCAUAGUGUUACUGAUUAUAUGGUGGGAUUGGGAUGCGCGCCGCAUCAAUUUAUUGUUUAUGUAUCCUUCCUCUCUGUGAAGUUAUUCUGUAGUUUUGUAUCUCACUUAAGAGUUGGUUAUUAGUGGGUACUAAUAAGAUAUUUGAGUUCUGUAUUCAUUUUUUUGUUUCAAGUUACAGUUUCAUUUUGUUCUUUUUCUUUUUAUUACAUACUGUAUGUAGGUUAUAUUGUAAUUGCCCCGCCGUAGCCUCGUCACUACCUCAUCGAGGUUAGGCUCGGCACUUACCAGUACAUGGGAUCGAUUGUACUGAUACUGCACUCUGCACUUUAUGUGCAGAUUUCGGAGCAUGUAGUGGCUGAUUGAGAGAUUGGUUGUAGGUUCACGGUUUGGAGACCCAAGGUAGUCCUGUUGGCACCCGCAGGCCCUGGCGUCCCCUUCUACAUUUCUACAUUUCUAUUUUUUUUCGUUUCAAAAUAGAUUUAAUUUCUUUCAGACCGAUAUUUUUAGUAAUUCAUAGUAUGUUCGUGGAUUGUGAUACCAGAUUCUGGGUAGUAGUAAUAGCUAUGGUACUGUUAAUAGUAUAUAGACAAAAGGUUAUUUAUGUACUUCCGCAUUUACUUCUACUUGAUUUAGUUUGUUAAAUUUUAAUCUAUGAAUGUAAAGGAAAAAGGUUAAUAGAACUCUAACAUUGGCUUGCCUAGCGAGUGUGAUAUUAGGCACCAUCACGGUCCCGAUGGUAGGAAUUCUGGAUCGUGACAAUUCCUAAGAUGAUGGACAGGAAUAUUCUAUUGAAUAUUCCCCCAUAUUGUACUUUCUUAGGGCUCUCGAGCGAUAUUCCUUAUAAAUAGGAAGAGAGAGGAAACAAAAAGCGGAUUCGGAACUUUUAUGAAAGAACAUCUUGUAAAGAAUUGACUAUCAAGAAUAUACAAAAAACUUGUCUCUUUAGAUUCCAUCACUUUUGUUUGAAUAUAAAUAGGACACAUCUUUAGUUCUCCUUUUGUUAUCUCUUUUGUUUGAUUCCAUCACAUAACAUUCCUCUUUAGUUCACAAGAUCCAAGGACACAUAGUUCACUUCUAUUAUCUGCUGUCACACGUUGCCUCAGAAGAAGGAAUCAUCCACCUUACCCAACAUUUGGGUGACAUAUUCCUUCUUAUUACAUUAAAUUCCAUUUAUCACAUUUAUUGCAUGUUUUCAUUCUCAUAUUUAUUACUAAUCAUUGAGCAUUAACUUGGCAUUUAUUGACUUGAACACGGUCCCACACCAUCUAAGUUGUUUAAUUUCAGAUCUGAAAUUUAUUACUUUUAACUUGGAUUUACCCCUUGUCCAUUUAUUAAAUUGGUUUAACUAAAAGGGCUUAAUACUUUUGGGUCAAAUAAUGUGGCGCCGUCUGUGAGGAAUUCCUAGUUAAAAUGUUUAGUUUCUUCUAGAUCUAAAAAACACAACAAAAGCUCCUUUUUUCUUGGUUGCACGAGCUAACAAUGGCAGGAAAAUGGGAGGAUAGAAUGAAAGUAGUGAUGGGUGUCACCACCAAUCUCCUAGGUACCAUCAACGAGGUAGACAGGGAAGACGAGGAGAACGUGACGCCAAGCGUCUCACCCAGGCAAAGUGAUUCACCUCCUCCUUAUGGGAGUGUAACCGCUUCACAUGAGAAGGGAGCCUCUACGUCCACAACGGAAGAAGCAUCACCCGUAGUAAAAAAAGUUAUUGGAGGCGUGGUGACAAGUACCCUAAGCAGUAUACUCGACAAACCCGCUCAAGAGGCGAGUAGGAACACCGCACGAGUCGGCACCCCAAUAACCAUCAAUGAGCAACACGUUCCUCCCCCAACAAGUAAACCCUCACACUAAUGUUGAUGCAGGUAACGACGCCCUCAUAGUUGUUCUGAAGAAAAGGGAAUAAAUGGAGAAUGAGAAUAAAAUGCUCCACGACCAAAUGAGGAAGCACCAAAAAAGAGUUGAUAAGAUACCAAGCUCCCCGAAACUCCUACCAAAACGGGACGUCGGCCAAUUCGUGGAGCAGCCAUACAAUGAGGAGGCAGCCCCACAUGCCAUACCCAAAACCUUCAAAAUGCCACCAUACCUAAAAAUAUUCGACGACACAUCGGACCCUAAAGACCAUAUCAUUCAUUAUGUCACGACGGUAAAAGGCAACGACCUUUCGAAAGAGUAGGUACCGUCAGUGCUGCUGAAGAAGUUCGGUGAAACCCUAAUAGGGGAGCCUUAACAUGGUACUCACAAUUACCAACAUGCUCCAUAAUGACAUUUGAGGAAAUGGCCGACAAGUUCGUCACCGCCCAUGUUGGGGCCAAGAAAGCAGAAGCCAGAGUGAAUGAUAUAUUCAUCGUCAAACAAUCGCCUGGCGAAGGGCUCAGGGACUUCCUUGCCUUGUUCAAUAGGGUAAGAAUGAGCAUGACUAACAUAUCAGAAGGGAUAGCAGUAGCGGCCUUUCAAAAUGGGUUAAAUAGGAACGGAUCGAGGGCGACAAGAAAAUUACUAAAUAGACUCAUGAAAUACCCUCCCACCACCUGGGAAGAAAUUCACAAUGCUUACUAUGCCGAGGUGAGAGCAGAUGAGGACGACCUUAAUGGUCCAACCCAACGACUAACGACAGUCCAAAUGGAAUCAAGGAAAGAUCGUCGGAACGACAGCCGAAGAGAUCAAGAAGGUCCACACCUCAACCGGGAAAGGCACCAACCGUACAUCAGAACGACUGCCCUACUACCUCUCCGCCAAGCUGAAGGGUCGUCCAGGCCACAAACGGGAACUCACCAAAAUGAAAGAGGUAUGCCUCCACUUUUAUCUGCUCACAAUUUUUGUAUUUCUUUUUCAUAAAUAGUUUAUGCCUAGGAGAAUCUCAGUCCCAAGGUGAAAUGGCCACAAAAUAUGAAGUUGGACCCAAAUUCCAGAAAGUCGAAUGCCCUCUAUGAGUUCCUUCAGGAACGAGGCCACAAGACCGAGGAUUGCAUAGCCUACGACAAGAAGUAAUGAACAUGAUCCACCAAGGACAUUUAAAGGAGCUGAUGAGCGACCGAGGGAGAGCCAAUUUCGCCCGUGGACGAGAACCACAUCAAGGCCCCCCAAAGCUACCCUUCCCCGCCCGCACCAUCCAAAUGAUCAUUGGCGGAGGCGAUAAAGCAACAAUCAACCAUGUGAAGUUCACCACCACACACAAAUUGAAGCAGUCGAUCACCCAUGAACGAUAUGAUGACCUCGAAUACAGUAUCAUCUUUGAUAAGUCAGAUAUCCACGAUUUGACCUUUCCUCAUUUCGAUGCUAUUGUCAUUACUUUACAAAUUUUAGAUACCGAUGUAAAAAGAAUCAUGGUAGACAAUGGAAGCGGCGCGUGUAUUAUCCACUCCAGAAUUUUCACACAAAUGAGACUCGAGGAUGAGAUAGUUCCACGUUGCAUAACAGUAACAGGUUUUAACAAUGCAGUUGAACGAACCUCCGGAGAGAUAACACUGCCCGUUCUAGCCGGGGGCGUCACCCUGGAAACAACAUUCUAUGUCAUGAACCAAGACACAACCUACAACGCCAUUAUAGGGCGACCUUGGAUACACGCCAUGAGGGCCAUCCUGUCCAGUUUAUAUCAGGUCAUCAAGUUCCCUACCCCAUGGGGAAUAUUCAGCAUCCACGGGGAACAACACACAGCUAAAGAAUUCUAUCGCAUCUCCCAAGAUUGCACAUACACUCAACAGUUAAGAGAGGAAGGCUCAGGAGCAUAGAAAUUACCGAAGUCGGGGCCCAAGUCUGAUGAACAAACAGACGUCAUCAGAGACCCCGACGUCGUAGAAGCCACAUGGUCAAUAGUGGAAGACCUCAACCCCGUCCAGCUGGACGAAAGAGACCAUAACAAAAAAGCCUACAUCGGCCACAAACUCACAGAACCAGGUAAAUUUCAUAAAUUUUUAAAUAACAACGCCGAUCUGUUUGCUUUCUUCCAUGCAGAUAUGCCAGGUAUCCUAAAAGACAUUGCAACACACAAGCUGAAUGUCGAUCUACUCUACCCGCUGGUACGACAAAUCAGAAGAAAGUUCAAUGCUGCAAUCAACAAGGCUGUCCACGAAGAGGUAGAAAAAUUGCUCGACAACGGUUCCAUUCAAGAGUCAAAGUACCCCCAAUGGGUCGCCAACGUCGUCAUGGUGAAAAAAGGGGAAAUGGCGCAUGUGCGUAGACUUCACGGACCGAAACAAAGCCUGCCCGAAUAACUUCGACCUGUUUCCUCACAUCGAUCAGCUCAUCGACGCAACAGUGGGACACGAGUUAUUAAGCUUCUUCGACACCUACUCAGGCUACAACCAAAUCCUAAUAGAGGAGGAGGACAAAGAAAAAACCACCUUCAUCACCUAUCAAGGGACGUACUGCUAUAGAGUCAUGUCGUUCGGGUUGGAAAAUGCAGGGGCAACUUAUCAGAGGCUGGUCACCAAGAUGUUCAAAGAGAAACUCGGCAAAAUAAUGGAAGUCUAUAUAGAUGACAUAUUAGUCAAAUCAAAAAGAAAAGAGGAACAUAUCGACCACCUGAGGAAAGCCUUCGACACACUUAGACGAUACAAUAUGAAGCUGAACCACGAAAAGUGUGCUUUCGGCGUGACCUCGAGGAAGUUCCUCAAUUUUUUGGACCCUGACCAGAUCAAGGCUAUAGAGGGAAUACCUAAAAUUUUGACCAGCAAGAAACAAGUACAGAAGUUGACCGACCGUAUAGCCGCCCUGUCAAGGUUUAUCUCACGAUCCUCUGACAUAUGCCACAAAUUUUUCAACGUGCUCAAAAAGGACAACGGACUCCAGUGGAAUUCCUAAUGUGUCCAUGCCCUAAGAGAUCUAAAGGCAUACUUGUCCUCGCCCCCAUUGCUCGCUAAGGCAGAACCAGGCGAACAUCUCUGAAUCUACCUGGCCAUAUCUAACGUCGUAGUAAGUGCAGUCUUGGUGCGUGAAAAUAAAGGUACGCAAUCUCCAAUCUAUUACAUUAUCAAAACCCUGGUCGAUGCUGAAACGAGGUAUCCCCACCUCGAAAAAUUGGUUCUGGCAUUAGUUGUAGAUUCACGAAAGCUGAGACCCUAUUUUCAAUGCCACCCCAUCUCGGUGGUCACGACCUUUCCCUAAGAAGCAUCUUACAUAAACCCGAGCUAUCAGGUAGAUUGGCCAAGUGGGAUAUCGAAUUAAGCAAGCAUGAUAUAACAUAUCAGCCGCGAAUAGCGAUAAAGUCGCAAGUACUCACCGACAUAGUCACCGACUUUAAUGCCAAAAUACUGCCUGAGGUCGAGCAGGAAGCCGCACGUACCUCCCCAAGUUACUUGACCUAUGCGUCCUGUACACCGAUGGUGCCUCCAACACGUCAGGAUCUGGACUGGGACUCAUGCUCGAGGUCCUAACAGGCGAAGUCAUUUUCCAAUCCAUAUGGUGUCCCGACAUUACUAACAAUGAGGCCGAGUAUGAGGCCGCAAUUGCAGGACUGAAACUAACUCUCAAGUAUGGAGCAUGAUGAGUCAUCCUUCGAUGUGAUACACAACUCGUCGUCAACCAAGUCAUAGGGACUUUCCAAAUCAAAGAACAAAGGCUACAAAAAUAUCAGGCAGAAUUCAUAACCUACUGCUCGAGUUCGAUGAGUGCCAACUCGACCAAAUACCGCAAGCACAAAACAUCGAAGAAGACGGCCUCGCCAAAUUAGCAGCAACCACCAAGAACAUAAACAGAAAAGAAAACGUGAUCACCCUCCUUCAUUCGUCAAUAGACCAAAUUGAGGUAGGCACUAUAAACUUGACUUGGGACUGGUGCAACCAUAUUAUGUCAUAUUUUCAUGAUGGAGUGCUCCCACUUGACAAAAAAAGCCAAAAAGCUUCGAAUGUAGGUGGCCUAAUACAGCGUCAUCAACCAUGAGCUGUACAAAAGAACAUUUGGCGGUCCCUUGGCGAAGUGCCUAGGACCAAACCAAACUAGGUGCAUCCUCGAAGAAGUACACGAAGGACUGUGGAGCACAUACCGGUAAUCGAGCCCUCGGUAGAUGCUCCAUACAGGCAGGCUAUUAUUGUCCCACCAUGAAAAAGGAAGUUGUCGACUUCAUUAGAAAGUGUGAACAAUGCCAAAAAUAUGCUCCAAUGAUCCACUAGGCGGGCGACCACCUCCACUCUGUCACAUUGCCUUGGCCAUUCAUCAAAUGAGGUAUGGACAUCGUCGGACCCCUUCCAGCAGGACGAGGUAAUAUACGAUUUCUUUUAGUUUUAACUGACUAUUUUUUUGAGCGGGUAGAAGUAGGUGCAUUCGCCUAAAUACACGAAUAGGAAGUUAUCACAUUCAUAUGGAGGAACAUCAUAUUCCACUUUGGCAUCCCCAAAGAAAUUAGUUGUGACAACGGACCCCAAUUCACCAGAAAAAAGACCUCCGAUUUCUUCGAGAAAAGGCACAUCAAGCGAAUACUCUCCAUGCCAUAUCAUCUCGCAAGCAAUGGUCAGGCGGAGUCCUCCAACAAAAUAAUAUUGAACAUCAUGAAGAAGAAGCUUGAGGACGCCAAGGGACUGUGACCGAAACUGCUAUCAGAAGUGCUAUGAGCUUAUCACACCACACCCAAAACAAGCACAUGAGAAAUGCCAUAUUCACUAGUCUAUGGGACUGACGUAGUGAUACUAGUCAAAGUUGGGGAACCAAGUUUGAGAUACUCCAACGAGGGCGGACCAAGUAACGAUGAAAGAAGAAAGCAAGACCUCGACGAAAUAGAUGAGUGAAGAGACAUGGCCUGCAUAAGAAUGAUAGCUCAAAAACAGCAAGCAGAAUGGCACUGCAACAAAAAAGCCAAAGUCAGACCACUUAAGGUAAGGGACUAUGUACUCAAAGCCAUAACAAAAACGAGCAAAGACCCACGAAAAAGACAAACUGGGAACCAAUUGAGACGGAGCAUACAAAAUCACGGCAACAACAAACAAAGGAUCAUUCCAACUAGAAACAAUGGAGGGAAAACUACUACCAAACAAUUAGAAUGUCACCCUUCUCAAAUACUUCAACUUCUGAAGAUGAACGUCCUCCAAGUUGUACUCUUUUCCCCUCACCCAAGUCUAAUCCCAAAUGGGUUUUCUCGGAGAGGUUUUUAAUGAGACGAUGAAGGGGGCAUCUCGAAGUUUAGGUAUUAAGUUCACAGCCCGCCUAUCGACUACUUCUCUAGGCCGAGCAAAGAAGGAACUAGAUAGAUUGGGACACCUCAAAUGUGUGGACUGAAAAGAAAUAUGUAAUAUUCUUCAAUGAAUAAACAAAGUAGUAUGACCCAAAUUUACACAAUCAUGCCAACGCAAAGGAAAUGUACAUUCGAUAUCACUCGAAUUAUUUUCUAAGUUUACAUUCGACCUUGCUCGAAUUAACAUACAUUCGACCUCUCUCGAAUUAACAUACAUUCAACCUCGUUCGAAUCGAUAUACAUUCGACAUCGCUCGAAUUAACAUACAUUCAACCUCGUUCAAAUCGAUCUACAUUCGACCUCGUUCGAAUUGAUCUGCAUUUGACCUCGUUCGAAUUGAUAUACAUUUGACCUCGUUCGAAUCGAUCCACAUUCGACCAUGCUCGAAUUAACAUAUAUUCAACCUCGUUCGAAUCGAUAUACAUUUAACCUCGUUCGAAUGAAUAUACAUUCAACCUCAUUCAAAUCGAUCUACAUUCGACCUCGCUCUAAUUAACAUACACUUGACCUUGCUCGAAUCGACCUACAUUCGAUCUCGCUCGAAUUAACUCACAAUCGACCUCAUUCGAAUCUCACUCAAAUUAUUUUCUAAGUUUACAUUCGACCUUACUCGAAUUAACAUACAUUCGAGCUCUCUCGAAUUAACAUACAUUCGAUCUCUCUUGAAUUAACAUACAUUCGACCUUGUUCGAAUCGAUAUACAUUCUACAUCGCUCGAAUUAACAUACAUUCAACCUUGUUCGAAUCAAUCUACAUUAUACCUUGUUCGAAUCGAUCUACAUUCGACCUCGUUCGAAUCGAUCUACAUUCGACCUCGUUCGAAUCGAUAUACAUUCGACCUCGUUCAAAUAGAUCUAUAUUCGACCUCAUUUGAAUCGAUUUACAUUCGACCUUGUUCGAAUCGAUCUACAUUAGACCUCGCUCGAAUUAACGUACAUUCGACCUCAUUCGAAUCGAUAUACAUUCGAUCUCGUUCGAAUCGAUCUACAUUCGACCUCGCUCGAAUUAACAUACAUUCGACCUUGCUCAAAUCGACUACAUUCAACCUCUCUNNNNNNNNNNNNNNNNNNNNNNNNNCAUCAAGAUCUGCACGUGUCUUGACACAAACAUCCUCAAAUUCUGCCUCGAAAAUCUUCCCAGCCGUUUUCAGAGACCUAUAUAUGUCAAGUUGGGCCUCAACAUGAGCCCAAAUUGCAUACAACUCCCGUGACACACUGGGAUCGGUAUAAUUAUAAGAUGUAGAUGGCUGGGCCUGCUGUUGCGCCUUCCCGGCUCUUAGAGUGACAACUUGCUCAUUCAGCUCAAACAGUUUCGCCUCCAAACCCUCAAUCCGCUCCUUUAACCUCGCCUCCUUGAGCGCCAAAGAUUCUGCCUCAGUAGCCCGCUCAGACCUACAAACACGGAGGGCACCCUCUAGGGCUUCCACCUCCGCCAUAGUGAUCACAGCCUACUCCGCAAUACUAAAAAGUAGGAAGAGAGGGUCGCAAUAGCUUUUACCCGAUUUGUGGGUCGGGAUCGAUUUCCAUAGAGAGCUAGGAAGAGUCAGGUAUCUAUUUAGGUUGGAAUUGCAUAUUGGUUCCAAAUAUCACUUCUAAUCAUUUUUGGGUUUUCUUUGUAAAUCUACUAAUUAUCAAACUACAAGUAUAAUUGCAACUAGAUGAAGCUACGAGUAAAUUGUUACAAGUUGUACCUAAUGGUUUAAAAGUCACUAGGGUAGUGGCAUCCUCCUAGGUGGUCAAUUGAUGGGUAAUUGAACCUAAGGCAUGAUUGACAUGAUUGGGGAAUAUGCUAUAACCAUUGCACGAUUUUACCCACUAUCACACCUCUCGGUAGAGAGAGUGAUUUUGCCCAAUUGACUUUCUCAAGACCAACAUGGUAGGCAAAUUUGCUCAAGCAACUAGGGUUCAAGUCGGAUAUUACUCUCUCGAGGUUUAACCCUUUAAUUGGGACUAUCAAUUCUCUUGAGUCCAUUCCAAUUCCUUGUUGGGUUAAUUUCGGAGACUUAGGCUCUAUUUCUCAUGAAGAGCCCAAGUCAACUUAGCACAAACUAGUGUUUGCAACCACUAAUUCAUAGAUUAAACCAUGAAAUUGAUCCAAAUAACAAACACCCAUAGUCAAUCUAACCUUAAAUCACAACACCCAUCAAUUACCCACACUAGGGUUGAGCCACAAUCCUAGUUAAUGAGUUUAGCUACUCAUGCUUGAAGAGAAGAACAGAGAAAUAGAUGAAGAUAAAGACAUAUUAAUUAAUUACUAAGGUAAAUACAAAGAUUCAAUGAUAACAACUAAGUAAAAAUGCCUAAAAUGGCUAAGAAAAGUCUUCUCACGAGCGCAACUAACGUCUGAUAAUAUAUGAUACCCUAAAAAUGAAAAAAGUUCAAUUUAUACUAAGCUGGAAAAACUGGACAAAAUUGCCCCUGCGGGGUUAGUGCGGACCGCACAAAAUGGUGUGUGGUCGCACUAGGCUCUUGAACUUGCAAUCUUGAUUCUCUGAACCCAGGCUCCGCGGACCGCACAAAAUGGACUGCGACCGCGGAGGCUUUUAGCGCGGUCCGCACAAAGUCGACCGCGGACCGCACAUGCCUGAACCUCUGAACUUAGCAUCUCUCUGAACCUUGUCUCUACGGACCGCACAGAAUGGGAGUGCGGCCGUA
This 74911-nucleotide long non-coding RNA is filed under the name Nicotiana tabacum (common tobacco). RNAcentral describes it as "long non-coding RNA (NTAB_LNC016508)". The record is from RNAcentral. Lineage: Eukaryota; Viridiplantae; Streptophyta; Magnoliopsida; Solanales; Solanaceae.